GAAAGGUUAAAUGUUGUAUGGAUGGAAAACGAAUAAAAUGGAACCUCGACCCACUAUCAAAGAUGAUAGGAACCUCGGUAUAACUUUGAACGCCACACUUUGGGUGCAAAGUGAUAAGUUCAAAAUACAAAAACGGGUUGACGCCACAAGGGUUACUUGAUAAGUCUAAACAGUCCUUGGAGAACAAUGAGAGUUGAAAACAAACUCACAAAGUAAACAAAUUUCAUAUAAGUUUUAAAAAUAUAUUGUCUAACCUUUACAUGUUUACAAGCCAACUAUUUAUACUAAAACUAGGACAUGAAUAGCCAAUUUUGGCCAUUAAUAAGUAACAUGAAUCAGCCCAUGAACCGAUUUUAAUGAUAUAUGUUCAUCCAUUGAAUGACAUUUAAGUCACAUUCUUCCCCCCAUUGCCAUCCAUAGAUGCAUCCUUAGUCAUGAAGCAAAUGUUUGUUCAUCGUGGGUAAUAAAUUUGACUUCUAGAAUCUGCCCAUUCAUCCCUUCAAUUUGGAUGGUGCUUUUAGGGCUCCUUUGUUUCCACGAAAAAGGCUCCUAGGUGAGCUCAAACGGCAGCUUAAAUGAGGGUUUUAAUUGCUGCUCAUGCAUUCUCUUAAUUGAGACGGCACAUUAAUGGCAUUUGAGGAACACGAAAAUGGCUCAUGGAAAAUAGAAAUCAUCAACUCUUCUUUAAAUGAUGUCCAUGCAUGGAAGGAGAAUUCGGCAGCUCUUUUAUGGCCAUCCCACGCAUGCUGGAUAGCUCCUUUGCUGCACAUUAAAUUCGGCCAGCAUGCUCCUAUUAAUGUUUUUGUUGAACACGAAGAAAAUUAACUCAGCAACUAGUUAAUGCGGUGCAUGCAAGCUCCAGCAGCUAAUUAAUGCUGUCCAUGCAUGGGAACAUCUCAUUUAAUUCAUGUAUUUGCUUCCCUUUAAAUGACGUUCCUUACAUGUAGAACAGCACCUUAAAUGCAUGUCUCCUUUGCCAUUAAGUAGUUGUUUUCAGCUGAAUUAAUUACCUGCAGACACAAAAUAAAUUCGAUCAAGACAUAAAUUAAACCUCAUUAAAUUCGGCAGCCUCCUUUAAUACAUAAUUAACUCAUACAUGAAACAAAACAAGUUAAUUAACAUAUUAAUUUCGGCUGGACAAUAAGAACAACAAUAAAUUCGUCACUUUUAAAGAACUUAAGACACAUUUAAUACUACUCUUUAAUUCGGCUGAAACUAAUAAAAAACAUCAAUAAAUUCAGCAUAUUAAAUAAAUGUAAUAAAUAAAACACAAUCAAUUAAACUCAAAAAUUAUUAAAGAUGUUCAGAUUUAAACAAAUUAAUUUACUAACACUUUUUGAGGUGAAUUAAAUAAAUAAACUAACUUAGUCAAUUUAUUUCAGCAAAUUAAAUUAUAAGAAUUAAAAUAAAAUCAAAUUGAGCAAAAUGAUCCCAUUGAGCUGGAAAAGAGCUAAACGAAGCUCAGUGAGAUGCAAUCGAUCUAAUUUAGCUCGCAUGGGUGUGCAAUAAAUACUUAUGGAGCUGAUCAAAAAAUAUGCCCGGGGCGUGGUUGUAUCACGUAUUGUUUCUUCUUUUCAGGUUUCUAGAGAUUCAAAUGACAAGUUUCAACUUCAUUACCUUCCUGAUGAGAGACGAUUCCAUUUGAUCGAAAAAGGUAAGGUUCAAGCGCUUAAAGGUAAGCAAGGUAAGGAGUUUUUAGUUAAUGAAUCAUGGCAAUCAGGUUUGAAAGUUGUUGAUAAAAUUUUUGAUAACUUAGUUUUUAAAAGAUCUCCUAAUUUUGAUUUGGUUAAUUGUUACUCGCUAUUUGUGGUUGAUAAAUUCGUUUUAAGUGGAGGCAUGAAGAGUUGUUCACUCAAUAAGUUUAGUGUUGAAAAAUCAUUUGAUGUUGUUAGAUUAAAUCCACAAAUACAAAAUCUGAUCAUGUUUGAUAAAGAGUUUUCAUGCGAAACGCUCAAUCUGUUUGAUCGUGAUGGUAAUGAAAAUUUUUUAACUCUUAGUGUGAAAUCUUCGUAUAUUUGCAUGAGAUUUGAGAGAUUUGAUUGUUUGAAUUUAUUUUUGCCUACAUCUUCUUUAUUUGGCAUGUGUGAUGUCUUGGUGAAACUAAAGUUUUUGUUACGUUACGGAAUAGCCGAUCAAAACCAUGUUUUUAAACCCGGAGCCUGUAUUCCUAAGUUGACGUCAAGCGAAGGUGAGUAUCAAAAUUGUAUUUUAAAUCAAUAUGUUGACCUCUUCUAUUUGCUUCAAGUUUUAUCUUUAUUUAGUUCGAAAACCAAACAUGUGAAUUCGUUGGCUUGCCAAGUCAAAAUCAAAUUUUUGAUUCUGGAGGUUGUUGUAUAUUGUUGCUUAAUGGAUUCGAACAUGUGUUGCAUGAUUUUAACUUUAAUGUGCUUCAAGUUCUUCAUAAGUUACUAGCCACGAAUUUUUCUGGACGAAUUGAAAUGGUGAACAAAAACUUUGUCUUUGAUCCCGGUGAAUGCUGUUCCAUAUCAUUGUUCAAGGGAUUUGGACCAUGGAAUUCUAAUUUUCGAAACUAUAAUCUUCAAAUACCUUGUGAAUCAGGUUUGUUUCCAUCGAAGAAAAAGGUAAAACCAAUUUCUGUUUUUGAUCCUGGUAUUGAUUCAUGUGUUGUUGAUAUGGGGUUGCGCGCGGACCAAGAUCGAGUUGCCAAGUCACGGGAAACUCCUACGAAAGCUCUAAACGAACAGAUCUGAAAAUUAAAAACAAAGAAUAAGAUUAAACUAAUCAGAUCUGAAAUUAAAUCCCCAAAUUCAAUUAAAUGAGCAGCAAGGAACAAAGAAAGAAUGAAUAAAUGUCUUCGGAGUUCAAAGAGAUGAAAUCGAACUCCAAUAGUGAAACCCCACAAGCCGAAUCUGCUCCAGAACAAACCGACAAGAAAAACCCCAAAUUCUAGCAACUUGAUUUCCCCAAAAUCAGAAUGUAUUAAUCGACAAGAACCCUAGGAUUUAGGGAUUUUGAUUCGAAACUUUACUGCCCAAAAGUAGACCGAUUAAAUGGAAGGAUCUUGGAGUUAAACAAAGUUGAAUCACAAGCAAGAAAAGCAAAAAUAUUAGAUAAUGAAUCGGCACAAGUAGGAAUAAAGAAACAAAUCGAAACAGCAAGAUAUAAAGAAAAGUCCUAAGAACCCUUGAAUUCUCGAAAGAAUUCACAAAUUCCUUCAAACGGCUCUAAUCUCCCCUCCAAAGAAUAUCGAUGGCAAGAAGAAGGUUGAAGAUGGCUCCCACAAUCAAAAGAUUGUUAAAACAACUUCUAAAGAAAACUCAAGAGAGAAUUCUUGGAGAAAACCCCAAAGAAAAUUCUACACUCAACAAAUCUGAAAUUUGAUAGAAAAAAUAAUAAUAAGAUGUUUACAAAGGGUGGCUGGCCAAUGCUUAUAUAGGCCUCCAACAAAUCCUAAUCUAAUUAGAAAACUUAAAAAAAUUAAACUUAAUUAAAAAAACAAAGGAAAAUUCAGCCAUGCAUCCUAUUGGGCUGUUUUGGGCCGAAUUUAACAUGUGAUAUUCCUAAAACUUAAAAAUUAACUUAAACAACUAAAAUGUUUACAAAUUGGGCCCUUUGACAUUUUGGCCUGAUUUUCAACUAAAUAUGUAUGGAUUUCUUGAUUGGGCUGGGAAUUUGCUUAUUGGGCCUCGCCUUUAAGAAUUUGGGCUUGUGAUCCAUCUCCUACCGAAAUUGGGUCGUUGACGCUCGUAAUGGAGAUCCAACGCGCUUUGGCUGCAAGAUUCAGUUUCUUGGACCAAGAUUUCCAAGAUUUGAAAUCUUGAUUUUCUUGAUUCUUGAAAUCGCUCCGAACAGCAAAAUUGGGCCAAGAUUCGAUUUCUUGAUUUUCUUGAAAACAAGAAAGUGAAUCUUGAUUUUCUUGAUUUGAGCCCAUCACCUUCUUAAGCUUGGGUUGGGCCUUUGUGACUCGUAUCAUUCCCCCUUCCUCAGAAAGAUUCGUCCUCGAAUCUAAAAAAUCAAAUGAACUUGACUUUCCUUGAUCGAACGGGACUAAUGGCAAUUGAGUCCACUGAAAAGAAUAGCCAUGAAAUAGUAAAUAGCAACGCAAACAAGCUUGUAGUCCAAUUAUAAGCAUAAUAGAACAGGUAUAACGCAUGUGAAUGGACAGAUUCAGAUUACCAUGCCUUAAUCGACGGUCUAUAGAUUCACUCACACAUGCAUUAUCAAAAACAAGAAUCUUUUUAUCAACCAUCAAAAUAGAUUUAUCAUCAAUAAAUAAAAUAGGACAGUGAAGCACGUUUCGAUCUAAGUGUUCAUCAACACGAUCUUUGUCGCUAUCCGAGGAGUACAAAAGUGUUUCAAAGGUUUCAAGCAUCUUACCUUGAUAAGCAAAAGAAUAAGGGUCGAUUUUACCUUUUUCAUUUAAAACAAACCUUCGUUCAUCGGGGGCAUAGUGUAGUCGAAUCUCCGUUGUUGAGUUAACCUUUGUCAAAUGGAACUCAAACUUCAUGUACAACCACAUAAACUGUUUAAGGCACGAAUAUAAAUUGAAAACAAAUUUGGAAAAUUUUGUUACCUUAUUCUCCAAAAUAGAUUUGGACAAAUUCGAGGAUUUUACACAAGGUAAAUCAAGAGAAUAACAAAUCACGCUUCUUUUCGUAAUGACUUUAUCAACCACAAUCGAAGAGUAACAAUUAAUCGGAUCAAAAUGAGGGGAUCUUUUAAGAACUAAGUCACCAAAAGUUUUAUCAAUAAUUUUCAAAUCUGCACGGGACUCAGUUGCUAAAAAUUCCUUACCUCGCUUACCUUCUUCAGGCUCAUGUAGUGUGAUUUCAUCUUCAACCUUUCCUAUGUUGAUCGUAUGAAAGCGUCUUUCAUCGAAAACGUAUUGAAGUUGAAAGUUAUCUUUCGUAUGUGGCCAAUGGAAGUGUUCUAUCCCACGUAAAGGUGGUAAACCUUUAGGGGUCUUACUAAAAACAUCCUCAUAAUCCUGCAAAAAACAUUGAAACACACUAGGCAAAUUUUCGUUAAUGUUAGAUAAAGAUAAAUAGUUUUGCCUAAACCUCACAAGGAUACAAUGCUGUUUAUUAAGUAGGGCUCUCCGCACAUCUUUUUUUGUUGCCAUCAAAUUUUUCACUCUCAUUUUACCACUUGCGGAUUCACUCACCUUUGGGCUAUUUAGAUUUUGACUUUUUUCACUACUAGCCUCUUUUCUCUCUGUAUUUUGUAUUUGUCCUUUCUCCCUUACCCCCUCACAAAAUUUCAUCAUUUUUAAUUGAUCUUUAUAUACAUCACUGGGAUUUAAAGGAGCAAGAGUGAAUUUUAGGCCUUUAAACACAAGAGAGUAUCUAUUAAGCUUGCCUUGGUGUGUAACAUCAUGAUCAAAUUGCCAAGGCCGUCCAAGGAGCAAGUGUGCCGCAUGCAUUGGGACCACAUCACACCAUACCUCAUCCUCAUAAUUCCCGAGCUUAAAAGUGAUCAAGGACUGUUUUGUAACUUUAACUUCUGAGCAUUCAUUAAGCCACUAAGGUGAUACGGCUUAGGGUGCUCGAUACAAGGUAACGUUAAGGAAUCCACCAAAUAACUGCUAACUAGAUUCGAACAACUCCCACUAUCAAUAAUAAGUGAAUAUAAGUUACCUUUUAUAAAACACCUAGAAUGGAAAAUAUUGGUCCUUUGGUUAUCAAAAUCGUCUCCCAUUUGGCUAUUAAGGGUUCGGCGGACUACCAUCUUAUUUUUUUCCUCUUUUUUUUGAAGUAUCUGCAAAAUAAACACUCAACACUCAAAAAUAAAAGUUAGCAAACCUCACCGUUAAUCACUCAAAAAGAAAAUUCAAAUUCUCAAUGAGGUAGAAUUCAAUCUUGUGAGUUCUUUAUCAGAGUUUAUAUCAACCAAUUAGAGAGUGGAUGAACCGAUCUACCAAAGAAUCCUAAUUUGCACUAGGAUGCCAAAAACUGACGAGACACCAAUUGAUUCGUGUUGCACCGAGGAAGAAGUUGUGCACACGUUUAAAUCCUACUAACACAAGAAACAAGAAGGUGUUAGAUAACGUAAAGGAAGAAUAAAGGAAAACAAAUGAAAACCUACAGCUAAGAAUCAAUAAAAAUUGCUGAAAACAGAAAAACCCGAAAAAUUGCGGAGUGACUUGACAACUUCGUUCGAGGUGUUACCGAUCUCUAAAAAUCACGAAAUUAAAUAUUGAAUGUCCUUAAAUAUUUAAUUUUUUAUCUGAAAAUUUUGGGCACCAAAUUCAACCCGCUGAAUCGUUUUUUAAAUUUUUAUUGAAUUUCGUAUUUUUUGAUUUUUUGACUUUUUUGACUGAUUUUUUUGCGGGAAUAAUUUUUUUAUAUUCAACCACAGUGCCAAAAACAUGUAUGUAAAAUUUCAGAUCAAUCGGACAACGUUUACCCACUCAAAUGAAUUUUUUUGAACAAUUUUUCUGGGUAAAACUACUGUUUGUGCUUUAAAAAAUAGAGAUCAGUUUAGAAGUCAACCAAGAACACCCAAAACGCCCAAAAUCUGAUACCAAAUGAUACGGGGUUGCGUGCAGACCAAGAUCGAGUUGCCAAGUCACGGGAAACUCCUACGAAAACUCUAACGAUCAGAUCUGAAAUCAAACAAAGAACGAGAUUAAAUCUGGAAAAUUAAAAUCUGGAAUAAGAACCCUAAAAAUCAGCAAGAUCUAAUCAAGAAACAAAACACUUAUGAAAGAGGUUUCUUGAAACCAAGAACACGAAAUUGAUUCCCAAGAAUGAACUCCCACAAGCCGAAUCUGUCAAAGAACACCAAAUCAGCAAGCAAAUUAGAUCGACCAGAAUUUCUUGAAACAAAUUAGGGUUUAUGCGUCAAUGAGAAAGAAAGAAAUUGAAGGCAUAAAACGGCUAUUGAGGUUGAUAAAGCGAGGGCGAUCUGCUCAAUUGACCACCACGAAAGUUUCCCCUAAGUUUCCACAACCAAAUUCACCCAAGAAGAAUAAGUGUGAAUUCAGCAAGAACCCUAGAAUUUGGGGAUUUAGGGCUGAUUGUCGAACUCCAGCAAAAAGUGAAAUUGAUCAAUUCUUUAAGAUAAACGAGGGCUGCAAGCACAAAUAAAACAACAAAUAGAUUAGAAUUGAGAUUCGGCACAAGUAGAAUUAAAAAAAAGAAUUUGAACAGCAAAAAUUAAAGGAUAAGUCCUAAAGAUCCUUGAAAUCUUGAAAGAUUUCACAAAUUCCUUCAAACGGCUCUAAUCUCCCCUCCAAAGAAUAUCGAUGGCAAGAAGAAGGUUGAAGAUGGCUCCCACAAUCAAAAGAUUGUUAAAACAACUUCUAAAGAAAACUCAAGAGAGAAUUCUUGAAGAAAACCCCAAAGAAAAUUCUACACUCAACAAAUCUGAAAUUUGAUAGAAAAAAUAAUAAUAAGAUGUUUACAAAGGGUGGCUGGCCAAUGCUUAUAUAGGCCUCCAACAAAUCCUAAUCUAAUUAGAAAACUUAAAAAAUUUAAACUUAAUUAAAAAAACAAAGGAAAAUUCAGCCAUGCAUCCUCUUGGGCUGUUUUGGGCCGAAUUUAACAUGUGAUAUUCCUAAAACUUAAAAAUUAACUUAAACAACUAAAAUGUUUACAAAUUGGGCCCUUUGACAUUUUGGCCUGAUUUUCAACUAAAUAUGUAUGGAUUUCUUGAUUGGGUUGGGAAUUUGCUUAUUGGGCCUCGCCUUUAAGAAUUUGGGCUUGUGAUCCAUCUCCUACCGAAAUUGGGUCGUUGACGCUCGUAAUGGAGAUCCAACGCGCUUUGGCUGCAAGAUUCAGUUUCUUGGACCAAGAUUUCCAAGAUUUGAAAUCUUGAUUUUCUUGAUUCUUGAAAUCGCUCCGAACAGCAAAAUUGGGUCAAGAUUCGAUUUCUUGAUUUUCUUGAAAACAAGAAAGUGAAUCUUGAUUUUCUUGAUUUGAGCCCAUCACCUUCUUAAGCUUGGGUUGGGCCUUUGUGACUCGUAUCAGAUGUUCUUUUGAGUUUAUUUGUUCAAGUUGUGACUAAAAUCUUGGAAAGUUCUUUUGUGUUUAACCUUCAUUAUGUCACUAAUUUGUUUUCUUGUUUUGUAGGUGACUAUGUUAGGUGGUACCCUCCUAAAGAGGGAGGGCAUGCAAAUGACUUUCUUUCUUGCCGAGCCAAUUGUGGUUCUUGAAAUUUUGAAAAUAAUUCUGUCCGGAUCAUCAACAAAGGGGGUCGUGAUCUUGAAAAAAUUUUCUUGGGAAAAUGGCUCGAUUUGAGGACAAAUCGUUUUCAAGAGGGAGGGUAUGAUGCGAUCUCGGUCGCAUCAUGUUAUGACACAACUCGAUGCUAUCGAGAUUGGCCCAAACUCUAGGGGCCCAAGUGCAAAAUGAAGUUUUUAAUUUCAGUUUGUCAAUUUGGUUGCUAGAAAAUAAGGACUUUGAUUCAUUAAUUUUUAGUUAUUUUAGUUUGUGUUUUUAAUUAUGUCAUAGUUUGCACAUCAUUAAUAUGUGUUCUUCAUUUAAUAAAGUCAUGCAUUAUAUAACUUUCAUGUUAGUUAAGUUUGCAUCAUUAAAUUAAGUCAAGUUAGUUUAAUUAUGUAUCUUUCAUGUUAGUUAAAUUUGCAUUUCAAAACCAUGCAUUUAAGCAUCUUAGUUUAAUAAAUGAGUUGCUGGACAUUUAUUCAACUCAUCUUAGUUUUAAUUAAUAAGUGUUUUUGUUGAACUUUAUUUAAUAAGUGUUGUUCUUAAUUGAUCUAGUUCCUAGGAUUAUUUAUUGAUGCAUAAAUUAAGUUCUUUUAAUUAUGCUUCUUUAAUUAAACUAGUUACUGGAAUAAUUAUUGCAUAUAUGUUUUAGUUCAUUUAUUUAAGUAAGUUUAAUGUGUGUUAUGAUUAAUAAGUUUUUUCUAUGUGUUUAAUAAACUCAUUUUAAUGUGUUUCUUGCAGGUGACUUUUCAGCUCAUAGUGGGUACAAUUCAAGGCUGUUAUACAUUUAAUUAAGUGGCUGUUCAAGUUAUUUUCAGUUACAAUUAAAUGGGCUGUUAUAAAGGAAACUGAUACGACCUCGGUUUAGUAGUUGAACCCGAGUCGUUUAGUUCCCGAUCGUAAACGAAGAAGUAUAUUAGACAAGAAGAAGAUAGAAUAUAUUUGAGUUCAAAGAAGUAAAGUAAGUUCGUGCAAAGUUGGAUAUGGAUUUGGUUUAAGUCGAAAUGGUAUGACUAGAAUGGUCGAGUUCGGUUUAGGAUUAAUUAAGAAAUGGUAUUUGGUUUUGGUACGUUUUGGUAUUUGGGAAUUGGUACGAAAUGGUAAUGGUUCAAAAAGGUCAAGAGUGAACCAACACUAAAGAAAAGUGUCGACCCGAAACUUAUAGGACCAAAUUGAGUUGGAAAUGGUUGAUAAGGACCUUGACCCGAUACUUAGUAAAGUAUGAACCAAAGGUAUCAAAGGUGAAUGCCACACUCGGGUUUAGGGAGUGAUAAGUUCGAAAGAAAGACUCGGAAAGACGCCACUAGAAGCUAGAUAAGUCUUACGGGUCCCGAACGAAAUUUGAAAGAAAAUGCCUCACAAAUUUGGUAGCAAUUCGUUACUUAAAAAUGUCAAAAGUCCCUUUUACAAAUGAACAAACAAAUAUUUAUAGUUCUUCAAAGGCUAGCUGAAUAGACAAACUUAAAAGCUAAGAAAAAUCAAGAAAAUUCCAGAAUUAAUUCCUCCAUAAGAUUCGGCUGAAUGGGCAUUCAAAUGGGCAGCUUAAGCAUGAAGCAAAUGCACCUUGCAAAGAUGAAUGCAUCGGUAGAUCAAUGGUCUUGUCCAGGUUCGGCCUUGCUCUUAAAUUACUCCUUAAAUUGGCACUUGUUGGCUGAAAAGAUAGGAACAUUAAAGAUAGUUGUUGAACAGCCACACAAGUGUGAAAAGAAUUAAAAGUCGGCUGAAUGGUCAACUUGGGAGUAGGAAACAAUAGCUUCUUUGGCCGAAUGGUCACCUAGGAUACUUCAAACAGCAGCCAAAUUUAAUUCCCCAAACAUGCAUGUGCCGUCCCCUUACAUGUAUCUUCUUUUAAUUCAUUCAUGCACCAAGGACAUCCAAAUGGGAUGUACCUACAGCAAAAUUUAUUCAAUAAAUCAAAUACAUUUUUAAACACAUUAAUUUGGCAGCAAAUGACACAAAAAUUAUGCACAUUAAAUUCGGCUACCUUAGGACAUAAUUAAAACAUGUAAUAAAAUUGACACAUUAAAACAUGCAUAAAAAACAUAUUAAUGAGCUGUAGAAAUUAAGACAAAUUAAUAACAUAUAAUUAUAACUCAAUUAUCAUGCAUAAUUAAAUUUGUCCAGAUUUUAAACCAAAUAAAUAAUGAAUAUUAAUUGAGCUGUAAUAAACUAAUUAAAUGACUCAAAUAAUUAUUUCAGCUACUAUAAUAAGGUCUUAAUGAAAUUGAGCUAGUUCGAGCUCAUUGAGCUUGAAAGGAGCUGGAAACGAGCUAAAUGAAGCUCCACAAAAUAAGAUUGAGCUACGUCCAGCUUGCAAACACGACGAGCCUCGCUUGUAGGCUGAAACAAUAGCCGUUCCCGGGGGCAGGUCGUAUCACCACAUAAACUGUUUAAGGCACGAAUAUAAAUUGAAAACAAAUUUGGAAAAUUUCGUUACCUUAUUCUCCAAAACAGAUUUGGACAAAUUCGAGGAUUUUAACAAGGUAAAUCAAGAGAAUAACAAAUCACGCUUCUUUUCGUAAUGACUUUAUCAACCACAAUCGAAUAGUAACAAUUAAUCGGAUCAAAAUGAGGGGAUCUUUUAAGAACUAAGUCACCAAAAGUUUUAUCAAUAAUUUUCAAAUCUGCACUGGACUCAGUUGCUAAAAAUUCCUUACCUCACUUACCUUCUUCAGGCUCAUGUAGUGUGAUUUCAUCUUCGACCUUUCCUAUGUUGAUCGUAUGAAAGCGUCUUUCAUCGAAAACGUAUUGAAGUUGAAAGUUAUCUUUCGGUCCUUCGGGAACCUGAAAAGUAGCAACACAAGAAAAAUUCAUAUCUUGGUUAGUGAAAACAUUCCUCACUAGCCUAAACCGUAUGCAAUUUUUUUUACGGAUCUUUCACGUUCUUUUCGUCCGCACCUAAACCGUAUGCAAUUUUUUUUUUGUAAUUUUUUUUUCAAAUUUUUUUUUCGAACUCCUUUGUUUUACGUACCUAUUUCAAAUUGACUUCGAGUGCUCGUACUUCUCGUUUUUACCAGCUCUGAUACCAAAUGAUACGACCUUGGUGUAGUAGUUGAACCCGAGUCGUUUAGUUCCCGAUCGUAAACGAAGAAGUAUAUUAGACAAGAAGAAGAUAGAAUAUAUUUGAGUUCAAAGAAGUAAAGUAAGUCCGUGCAAAGUUGGAUAUGGAUUUGGUUUAAGUCGAAAUGGUAUGACUAGAAUGGUCGAGUUCGGUUUAGGAUUAAUUAAGAAAUGGUAUUUGGUUUUGGUACGUUUUGGUAUUUGGGAAUUGGUACGAAAUGGUAAGGGCUUUGGUACGAAAUGGUAAUGGUUCAAAAAGGUCAAGAGUGAACCAACACUAAAGAAAAGUGUCGACCCGAAACUUAUAGGACCAAAUUGAGUUGGAAAUGGAUGAUAAGGACCUUGACCCGAUACUUAGUAAAGUAUGAACCAAAGGUAUCAAAGGUGAACGUCACACUCGGGUUUAGGGAGUGAUAAGUUCGAAAGAAAGACUCGGAAAGACGCCACUAGAAGCUAGAUAAGUCUUACGGGUCCCGAACGAAAUUUGAAAGAAAAUGCCUCACAAAUUUGGCAGCCAUUCGUUACUUAAAAAUGUCAAAAAGUCCCUUUUACAAAUGAACAAACAAAUAUUUAUAGUUCUUCAAAGGCUAGCCGAAUAGACAAACUUAAAAGCUAAGAAAAAUAAAGAAAAUUCCAGAAUUAAUUCCUCCAUAAGAUUCGGCUGAAUGGGCAUUCAAAUGGGCAGCUUAAGCAUGAAGCAAAUGCACCUUGCAAAGAUGAAUGCAUCGGUAGAUCAAUGGUCUUGUCCAGAUUCGGCCUUGCUCUUAAAUUACUCCUUAAAUUGGUACUUGUUGGCUGAAAAGAUAGGAACAUUAAAGAUAGUUGUUGAACAGCCACACAAGUGUGAAAAGAAUUAAAAGUCGGCUGAAUGGUCAACUUGGGAGUAGGAAACAAUAGCUUCUUUGGCCGAAUGGUCACCUAGGAUACUUCAAACAGCAGCCAAAUUUAAUUCCCCAAACAUGCAUGUGCCGUCCCAUUACAUUUAUCUUCUUUUAAUUCAUUCAUGCACCAAGGACGUCCAAAUGGGAUGUACCUACAGCAAAAUUUAUUCAAUAAAUCAAAUACAUUUUUAAACACAUUAAUUUGGCAGCAAAUGACACAAAAAUUAUGCACAUUAAAUUCGGCUACCUUAGGACAUAAUUAAAACAUGUAAUAAAAUUGACACAUUAAAACAUGCAUAAAAAACAUAUUAAUGAGCUGUAGAAAUUAAGACAAAUUAAUAACAUAUAAUUAUAACUCAAUUAUCAUGCAUAAUUAAAUUUGUCCAGAUUUUAAACCAAAUAAAUAAUGAAUAUUAAUUGAGCUGUAAUAAGCUAAUUAAAUGACUCAAAUAAUUAUUUCAGCUACUAUAAUAAGGUCUUAAUGAAAUUGAGCUAGUUCGAGCUCAUUGAGCUUGAAAGGAGCUGGAAACGAGCUAAAUGAAGCUCCACAAAAUAAGAUUGAGCUACGUCCAGCUUGCAAACACGACGAGCCUCGCUUGUAGGCUGAAACAAUAGCCGUUCCCGGGGGCGGGUCGUAUCAGAAACUUAAACAUCAUUAAAGGAGUGUUUAAAGAGCAUUUAUGACCUUUAAAAUUGGGCAGCAACCCUUCUUCUUCCAGCAGUUUUUUGGAGCUUUCAAGAGAAUUUAAUCAAGCCUUAAAAUGUCAUUAAGGAGCUGGUUAAAAGAUGGUGACUAUUCAGCUGGCCAAGGACAACUCAAGAGUCAUUUUUAAGCCAUUAAAGACAUUCAAAUCAGCUGAAUUGAAGUGAUUUUAUGGAAGGAGUUGUUUGGUUCAAGCAUAAGAAAUGAUGUGAUCCGGCCCGAUUGAUUGAGUCGGGUUCACUUAAGAUGCCCGAUCGUCAACGAGAAGCUCGUUCAAAUUUGUAGAUAGAUGGAGUUUGAAUGUUUUAUAAGCGGAAGGUAGGCAAAAUGGGUUCAAAGGAUGGGUUUUGGUUUGAUGAAAUAUAGGUUCGGUUUAACAAAGAAUUAAGUUACAUAGAUGAUAAAUAGAUGGAAAUGGAUAAAGAACUCAAACUUUAAGAAUGAUUCAAUACUAAAAAGUAUUGCCCCGAGUCUUAUAUUGCUUAAGGUGAAUUUUGAUGAAGGAUAGAAGCGGACCGUGACCCGUUACCUAUAUGGAGGUAAGAACCAAAGGUAUAGGAAGAUUGUUGAACGCCAUACCGAUUCGGUGAUAAGUUCAAUGGAGUUCGGAUUGACACCACUAGCAAGCUAGAUAAGUCGCUUCGAGACUCGAACGAAAGAAGAGAGGAGGUAACCUCACAAGAACAAAAGUUCUAUUAAGUUUAAUUGAUCAAAUUCUGUAACCUUUUACAAUAAACAAGUAAGCUAUUUAUAAGCCUAAAAUGCCUAUUGAUAUUCGGCAUCUAUGUUGUUCACACUAACUUAAAUUCUGUUCACACAGGUAUUUAACAUGUUCACACAAAUAGCAUUAAAAUCCAGUUCAUGCUUGAAUAUGGUACAUGAAUUGGCCGAACCAUCAUGAUGCUUCACUUGAUGCAUUCAUGCAUCCUUAGCCUUGAAGAAUCUCCAUAAUUCCAUGAAUGUGCAGCUCUUUAAUGAUCCUACAUCUCCCUUGGCUGAAUGAGGCAUUAAUGUGCCUAAAAUACUUGAAUGGUCAUCUUGAAAAUGCAUGAAUCAUGCAUGAAACGUCCCAUGUAUUUUCCCCCAUAAAUAUGAUCCAUGAAUCUUCAAAUACAUGAACUUUCAGCAACUCCCUCUUGCAUGAACGUCCCAAAUGCAUGUGCUCCUUUAAAUGCCAUCCAUUGAACCUCAAUUGUGCAUGGACACUCCCAUACAUUGCACCAAUCCGUUCAUGAACCUGCAGCAAAUUAAAUCAGCAAGUUAAAUGCAUUUCAAACACAUUAAAUUAGCAGCAUAUGAACUCAAUAAUUUGCACAUUAAAUUUGGCCAUACAUAUUAACAAUUUCAGACAUAUUUAAAACAUCAUAAUUUAUUAAGUAUUUAAUUUAGAUAUAAUUAAAACACUUAAUUAAUUAUUUGUCCAGAUUUUAACAAAUUAACUAACUUAAGAUAAACAACUAAUUUAACUAAUGACAAAUUAAAUGGUUUAUUUCAGCAAAAUAAAUGCCAGCUAAAGAAAGCUAAAAAUAAGCUCAUUGGGUUAAGAUUGAGAUGAAUUGAGCUUGAAUGAGUUGACUUGAGCUCGAGUGAGCUGGAAACGAGCUAAACGGAGCUUAACGAAAUGAAAUUGAACUAAUUCAGCUCGCAUGGAUUUGUAAACAAUGCUUAGGGAGCUGAUCCAAAAGUGUGCCCGGGGCAUGGUCGUAUCAAGAAAAGACAUGAGUUUUUAUGGCACAUUAAGUUGGAUGUUUUUUUUUGACCAUUCCGUUACCUUGUUCUAGCAUUAUAAAUAGUUGUAAUCAGCCUUAAAAAAGGGAAUUUUGCUGAAUAUAUAUAUGAAAACUGUGAAUUGUGAGCUAUCCAAUUCUUUUUGUUCUUACGGAAUUGAUUUGACUUAUCAAGCAUAGCUUGUGGCGUCCAUCUUUUAUUUGUUGCUGAAUUUAUCACCUUUGGUGUGACGUUCUGAUACGACCUCGGUUUAGUAGUUGAACCCGAGUCGUUUAGUUCCCGAUCGUAAACGAAGAAGUAUAUUAGACAAGAAGAAGAUAGAAUAUAUUUGAGUUCAAAGAAGUAAAGUAAGUCCGUGCAAAGUUGGAUAUGGAUUUGGUUUAAGUCGAAAUGGUAUGACUAGAAUGGUCGAGUUCGGUUUAGGAUUAAUUAAGAAAUGGUAUUUGGUUUUGGUACGUUUUGGUAUUUGGGAAUUGGUACGAAAUGGUAAUGGUUCAAAAAGGUCAAGAGUGAACCAACACUAAAGAAAAGUGUCGACCCGAAACUUAUAGGACCAAAUUGAGUUGGAAAUGGUUGAUAAGGACCUUGACCCGAUACUUAGUAAAGUAUGAACCAAAGGUAUCAAAGGUGAACGCCACACUCGGGUUUAGGGAGUGAUAAGUUCGAAAGAAAGACUCGGAAAGAUGCCACUAGAAGCUAGAUAAGUCUUACGGGUUUCGAACGAAAUUUGAGAGAAAAUGCCUCACAAAUUUGGUAGCAAUUCGUUACUUAAAAAUGUCAAAAGUCCUUUACAAAGUAAAAUUUUAGCUAUUUAUAAGCAACACCUAAGCUAGCCGAAUGGUCACUUACAUUCCUUAAAAAUUAAGCAAAUGAAUCACUUAAAUGAACUAGCUAGAUUCGGCUGAACAUGGAGCUCCAUUAGACACCUUCUAGAUGAAGCAUUGGACUUGGAAAAACUUGGAUGAUGCAUGGAUAGCUAGGUUCGACCAAUGGGCAUAAAUUAGCUCAUUUAUGUUGCAACUUUUGGCUGAAAAGUGACCAGCAAUUAAGAGGGUAAUGAGCAGCCAAUUCAAGUGUGAAAGCUCAACAUUGAAUAGUCAUGGAGUGUGAACACAUGGAACCGAAAAGCCAAUAUGCAUCCAGCAAAUGUGAAAGGAUUAAUUGACAGCUUUGGAGUUGGAAACAUUAGCUCUCUUGACUGAAUAGUCACCUAGGAAUGCCAAAUUCAGCUCACCAAUUUGAUGCAUGUAUCUCCAGGUUCAUUGAAUCUAUUGUGCAUGCACCAAGCUUAAAUGCUCCAUCCACAUUCGGCCAACCUACAUAAAACAUGAAUGAGCUCAAAUUGAUGUAAUAUUGGCUGAACAUAAUUAAAAUAAAACUUUGACAAGUUAAACACAUUAAUUCGGCACUGAAAAUCUGCACAUAUAAUUUAGUUUGGACAAAACACAUUAAAACAUGUAAUAAAAUUUGACUCAUUAAAAAUGCAUAAAACAUAUUAAUAAGCUGUAAAAAUUAAGACAAACUAAUGACAUGUAAAAAUAACUCAAUUAAGAUGCAAAAUUAAAUUUCUCCAGAUUUUAAAUUAUGCAAACAACUAAAAUUAAUUGAGCUGUAAUAAACUAAUUAAAUUGACUCAAAAUAAUUAUUUAGCUACUAAAUUAAUGUCCAAUUGAUAUUGAGCUGAAUCGUAAGUAUUUGAGCUGAAAUUGAGCUGAUUCGAGCUCAUUAAGCUUGAAAGGAGCUGGAAACGAGCUAAAUGAAGCUACACAAAAUAAGAUUGAGCUACGUCCAGCUUGCAAACACGACGAGCCUCGCUUGUAGGCUGAAACAAUAGCCGUUCCCGGGGGCGGGUCGUAUCAUCCCCUCCCUCUUUAAAGCGAUUUGUCCCCAAAUCGGGCCACUUGCUCGCGAAGAAACUUCUAUUAUCAAAGACUCCUUGGUUGUUGAAUUUGACAAACUUGUGCCCAACAACCUGAAAUUCAUGAAUAGAUUGAAAAAAACACUGAUUAGUUACUUGCCCUCCCUCUUUAAGGCAAAGCCUCUUCAAGGUGCCACCUACACAAUAACGAAAAUUAUGAAUGACACGAUGAACUAAAAACUUGCGAGCUCUUUCCAAAUUUUCAAUCACAAUUAGAGCAAAAGAACUAUUGCCGAAUUCAAAAAUAUAGAUAAGCCUUACCUUUCCACAUUGAUUUUCCAAAUUCAUCAAGGAUCUAGACAUGGGAAAUAAUUCUACCAAUAUGAACAAGUCAUUCGAAUAAACACAUAUCCCACAACGCACUUUAUCAAGUGGAUUUGAAGACUCAUGAAUCAAACAAUUAAAUCAAUUUGUCAAUCCUUCACCAAGGAAAAUCCCAUCCAAUGGACAAAGGGAAUUUAACGAAUAACCACAUGUCAACAAAAAGUCAUUUAAGCAAAUAUGUGGGAAAAAUAUUAAUCGGCCAAAAGAAACAAGAUCACUUAGUCGAAUCAAGUUUUGCAAAUGUAAAUUUAGCAGUGGCCAAUAGUAUUUCACUUCUUCAUCAAACUUGUCAGUUUCACGAUUGUCAUCACUUUUUGAACAAAAUAGAGAUGUUUUUAGUUCUUCAGAAACCAAACCUUGUCUAUCCUUGAGAUUAUUGAUUUGAGGAUCGAUUUUACCGUUUUCUUGCAAUAUGAACCUUCUCUCCUUAGGAAUAUAACAUAAUCGAAGCUGCUUGGUGGAAUUAACCUGAAAAGAAAAGUCAUGAAAAUAUCGGGUAAAUAAAACACUUUUCUUUUUAUCAUCCAUUGAUCCUUCACUCUCUUUUUCAUUGCUCUUGUUUUUCUCACAAUCUCGAUUCUUUUCUCUCAAUCUCUCUUCUUUCUUUUCUUUUGAAUCAUUUUUCUUUUCCUUUUCACUCUCUCUCAAUUUCUUUUUUAGUUCUUUCAAAUUCUCCAAAGAUUGCUUUAUUCGUUGUUGAUCUUCCAUCACUUGUGGUGGAGACAAUGGGGCCAAAGUGAUAUUUUUUCCUUUGUGCUUGAACGAAUAUUGGUUAGAAAACCCAUCGUGCUUGACUCGCCGAUCAAAUUGUCACGGCCUCCCAAGCAGUAAAUGGCCCGCAUGCAUGGGCACAACGUCGCACAAAAUCUCGUCUUGGUACUUUCCAAUUGAAAAGGGAAUCAAGGCUUGUUUGGUUACCUUAAGUUCGACUCCUUCAUUGAGCCAUUGUAACUUGUAGGGACUUGGGUGCUUAAGGGUUGGCAAGGACAACUUCUCGAUCAUAAGUGUGCUUGCAACAUUUGUGCAACUCCCGCCAUCGAUUACAACGCUACAAACCUUUCCAUGAACAUAACAUCGGGUAUGAAACAAAUUCUCGCGUUGUGGUUCACCCAUAGAGCUUUGCACACUAAGACUUCUUUUUACAACGAGCAUUUCACCUUCAACAGCAAAUUCUACUUCAUCUUCAUUUUCGGAUGGAUGUUGAACUUCUUCGUUUUUGUCUACUUCAUCCUCCGAUUCAAUCUCACCAUUGGGAAGCAUGAUCAUUGUGUUACGAUUUAGGCAUUGGCUUGCGAUGUGCCCUCUCCCUUGGCACUUAAAACACUUAAUAUCACGUGUUCGGGAUUGAGUAUUUUCAAUGGCCUUACCUUUGCUAGAUUCGGCCACAGACUUCUUGGACUUCAUGGGCACCACAGUUUCUUUUGAUUGAUUCGUUGAAACAUUCUUACUUGCCCCUUGGUUCCACUUAGAUGCAUUCGAAGAGGAAUAACCACGUACGGCUCCUUUCAUCUUGAGUUGUUUUUCGACCUUGAUCGCCAUGUGAACCAUAUCGACGAUCUCUACGUAGUGUUGCAACUCAACUAUGUUGGAAAUUUCAUGGUUAAGUCCGGCUAAGAAACGAGCCAUAGUUGCCUCUCGAUCUUCCUCCACAUCCGCUCGAAUCAUGGCCACUUCCAUCUCCUUGAAGUAAUCCUCCAUGCUUCUCGUCCCUUGUGUAAGAUUUUGAAGUUUUUGGUACAACUCCCGAUGGUAGUACGAAGGGAUGAAACGUCGUCGCAUUACAGCCUUCAUCUCGGACCAUGUUUGGAUAGGACGCUCGCCAUUUCGCCUUCGGCUAGUUGUAAGUUGGUCCCACCACACCAUUGCAUAGUCCGAAAAUUUGAUAGCAGCCAACUUAACUUUCUUGGCCUCAGAAUAGUUAUGGCAUUCAAAUAUAAGCUCGAUCUUUUUCUCCCACUUGAGAUAAGCUUCGGGAUCCGAUCGGCCUUGGAAUGAAGGGAUUGACAACUUAAUGCUUUUCAAGUCAUCAUCGAACCUCCCUCGAUUUCGUUGGCCUCGGUUGCGUUGGCCUCUUCGUUGAACAUUCGCAUUGGACCCUUGAUCACUUUCGUGUUCAAUCGACUCGAAAGAUUCAUCAUCUAAAUCAGAUUGCCGUCCUCGAUUUCUCGGAGGGCUUAAGGGAGUUCUCCUUCGUUGGGCUCUUCCUUCCACACGAUCAAGUCUAUCUUGAAUCGGUUCUAACUUUUGAUCGAACAAUCGUUCCACCUCGCGUAGCAAUGCUUGCAAAUUCAAGUCUGGCACAUUUCGAACAGGUUGCCUUUCUGCCAUGUUUAUUGUAGGGCUUCUUGAUAUAUGAAAUUAUAACCUCACAACAAAAACUCACAAGUCACUCAAAAAGAAAAUAAUUCGGCACUCCACUCGUGUUUACACUCUUUAAUGGCUUUUCUUUUCUCUAAUGCUCUCACAACACUCGUGCCUUUUUCCACUCAAUUUCCUCUCGUGAUUUCGUAAGCGACUCGUCGAGACCUUAUCGUAGUUCAAUGGGUCGGCUUCAAAUGGCUUUACAAGGGAUUGAUGUUAGGUUACGGGUAGGCUAAAAGAAACAAGAAAGGCUUUAGGCUAAGUGUGGCUUAGAAGAUGAAUAGAAGAGAAUGCCAAACUUACAAACUCGAAACACUUUUUUUUUAUAUCGAAUUUUUUUUAAUUGCGUGAAAUUUCACUACGGGGGAUAUAAAAGAGUGUAGAAUGAGAUUUUGGAAAAAUUUCUAUUGAAGUGUCUCCAGACUCUUUUUUUUUUUACGGAUCUUUCACGUUCUUUUCGUCCGCACCUAAACCGUAUGCAAUUUUUUUUUUAAUUUUUUCUUUCAAAUUUUUUUUUCGAACUCCUUUUUUUUACGUACCUAUUUCAAAUUGACUUUGAAUGCUCGUAAUUCUCGUUUUUACCAGCUCUGAUACCAAAUGAUACGACCUCGGUUUAGUAGUUGAACCCGAGUCGUUUAGUUCCCGAUCGUAAACGAAGAAGUAUAUUAGACAAGAAGAAGAUAGAAUAUAUUUGAGUUCAAAGAAGUAAAGUAAGUCCGUGCAAAGUUGGAUAUGGAUUUGGUUUAAGUCGAAAUGGUAUGACUAGAAUGGUCGAGUUCGGUUUAGGAUUAAUUAAGAAAUGGUAUUUGGUUUUGGUACGUUUUGGUAUUUGGGAAUUGGUACGAAAUGGUAAUGGUUCAAAAAGGUCAAGAGUGAACCAACACUAAAGAAAAGUGUCGACCCGAAACUUAUAGGAUCAAAUUGAGUUGGAAAUGGUUGAUAAAGACCUUGACCCGAUACUUAGUAAAGUAUGAACCAAAGGUAUCAAAGGUGAACGCCACACUCGGGUUUAGGGAGUGAUAAGUUCGAAAGAAAGACUCAAAAAGAUGCCACUAGAAGCUAGAUAAGUCUUACGGGUUUCGAACGAAAUUUGAGAGAAAAUGCCUCACAAAUUUGGCAGCAAUUCGUUACUUAAAAAUGUCAAAAGUCCUUUACAAAGUAAAAUUUCAGCUAUUUAUAAGCAACACCUAAGCUAGCCGAAUGGUCACUUACAUUCCUUAAAAAUUAAGCAAAUGAAUCACUUAAAUGAACUAGCUAGAUUCGGCUGAACAUGGAGCUCCAUUAGACACCUUCUAGAUGAAGCAUUGGACUUGGAAAAACUUGGAUGAUGCAUGGAUAGCUAGGUUCGGCCAAUGGGCAUAAAUUAGCUCAUUUAUGUUGCAACUUUUGGCUGAAAAGUGACCAGCAAUUAAGAGGGUAAUGAGCAGCCAAUUCAAGUGUGAAAGCUCAACAUUGAAGAGUCAUGGAGUGUGAACACAUGGAACCGAAAAGCCAAUAUGCAUCCAGCAAAUGUGAAAGGAUUAAUUGACAGCUUUGGAGUUGGAAACAUUAGCUCUCUUGACUGAAUAGUCACCUAGGAAUGCCAAAUUCAGCUCACCAAUUUGAUGCAUGUAUCUCCAGGUUCAUUGAAUCUAUUGUGCAUGCACCAAGCUUAAAUGCUCCAUCCACAUUCGGCCAACCUACAUAAAACAUGAAUGAGCUCAAAUUGAUGUAAUAUUGGCUGAACAUAAUUAAAAUAAAACUUUGACAAGUUAAACACAUUAAUUCGGCACUAAAAAUCUGCACAUAUAAUUUAGUUUGGACAAAACACAUUAAAACAUGUAAUAAAAUUUGACUCAUUAGAAAUGCAUAAAACAUAUUAAUAAGCUGUAAAAAUUAAGACAAACUAAUGACAUGUAAAAAUAACUCAAUUAAGAUGCAAAAUUAAAUUUCUCCAGAUUUUAAAUUAUGCAAACAACUAAAAUUAAUUGAGCUGUAAUAAACUAAUUAAAUUGACUCAAAAUAAUUAUUCAGCUACUAAAUUAAUGUCCAAUUGAUAUUGAGCUGAAUCGUAAGUAUUUGAGCUGAAAUUGAGCUGAUUCGAGCUCAUUGAGCUUGAAAGGAGCUGGAAACGAGCUAAAUGAAGCUCCACAAAAUAAGAUUGAGCUACGUCCAGCUUGCAAACAGGACGAGCCUCGCUUGUAGGCUGAAACAAUAGCCGUUCCCGGGGGCGGGUCGUAUCACGUUCAAUAUACCUUUGGUUCCUAUCAUAAUUGAUAGUGGGUCAAGGUUUUCUUGCUGUUUCUUAAAACAAAAAUCACCUAAGAACCAUUUUGAGAUUCGGGUCAACAAUUCCUUAUUGUUGGUUCAUUCUCGGUCUUAGUUAAAUUAUCCAUUAUUUUAUUUAGCCAUUCAUCCUACUUCUUUUGAUUGAAACCAUUUAACCUAUUUUGUUUCAUUUUUUUAAUCGAAACGAAUCCAUCCUUACUCAAUUCACGAUUGGGCAACACAUACGACUCAAAUCAUCACGAGACAAGUUCGUAUCAGGUACGGAUGGAAAUUGAAUCAAUUGAAAGGAAUACCCACGAGUUAGGAAAAAGUGUUUCAAACAAAUUUGUAAUUCACAUGUAGGCAUAACAAGACCAGUAAAUCGCAUACGAGUGGACAGGUUCAAAACAACAUGUUGACAAUCAUGCAAACAAAUUAAUUUACAUGCCAAUGCCUCAUCAAAUAUUCAAAAUAAAAAUGAACAUGUUCUAAGGCAUUUAAACGUCUCAAAUAGUGAUACGAGUCACAAAAGCCCAACUCAAGCUCAAAAACGUGAUGGAAUCAUUCAAGACUUCAUUAGCAAGACUAAAUGGAAUAAUUCAAGACUUCAUUACCACAAGGCCCAAUAACGAGGUCAAAGGCCAGACAAAUGCGUACGAAACUAAAUGGAAUCAUUCAAGACUUCAUUAGCAAGGCCUUAGAAGCGUAUACAAAGGAAAAAGAAAAUCAAGAAAUCGAAUCUUGGUCCAACCUUGCUGUUUUGAGCAAUUUGAAGAAUCAAGAAAAUCAAGAUUUCAAAUCUUGGAAAUCUUGCCCCAAGAAUCUGAAUCUUGUAGCUAAGGCCCAUUGGAUCUCAGUUACGAGCAUCAACGAACCAAUUUCGGGAGAUACGGAUUACAAGCCCAAAUGCUUGAAGAAACAACCCAAUAAGAUAUCUAAACCCAAUCAAGAAAUUUAAAUUAGACUUAGUUGAAAAUCAGGCCAAAUUGUCAAAGUGGCCCAAUUUGUAUCAGUUGCUAUUGAAUCCAUUAAGCUGCCACAAGGGCCUAUAACUAGGUCAUGAGCUAAAAACUUUAAAAAUGCUUUGGCAAGCUAUCUGGAUCGAGUUUGGGAGGAACAAGAAGCCGAAUCUAUUCAUCAUGAGUUUAGUUCAUUUAUUUAAGUUAAGUAUUUAUUUUUUAUAUGCUUAAUUAGUGGAUACGAGUCACAAAGGCCCAACUCAAGCUCAAGAACGUGAUGGGCUCAAAUUACCACAAGGCCCAAUACGAGGUCAAAGGCCAGGCAAAUGCGUAUGAAACUAAAUGGAACCAUUCAAGACUUCAUUAGCAAAGCCUUAGACGCGUAUAAAAAGGAAAAAGAAAAUCAAGAAACCAAAUAUUGGUCCAAUUUUGCUCAACAACAUUAAAUGAUCAUGUUUUCCAUGUUAGAACGGUUUUAGACAUUCUAAGAGCUGAAAAAUUGUUUGCCAACCUCGAUAAAUGCACAUUUUUUUGUGAUAAGCUAAUAUUUUUAGGUUUCAUAAUUAGUGCUCAAGGUAUUCAUGUCGAUGAGGACAAAGUUAAGGCAAUCAAGGAGUGGCCAAUUCCUAAAUCGAUAAUUGAGGUGAGAUCUUUCCAUGGUUUAGCUAGUUUUUAUAUACGAUUUGUGAAAGAUUUCACCACUAUUGCUGAGUUGGUGAAAUCCUUACACGAGAAGGCUAGGCAGCGAAUAGCCAAAACAAAUGACAUCAACACCAACAAAGCAAACAAGAGGCGCAACCGGGUUGUCUUUGAACCCAGAGAUUGGGUUUGGGUCCAUAUGAGGAAAGAACGAUUUACUAUAGAAAGAAAGACCAAGUUGGACCCAAGAGGCGAUGGACUUUUCCAAGUACUCAAGCGAAUCAAUGAUAAUGCAUACAAAAUUGACCUACUCGGUGAGUACAAUGUAAGUUCUACUUUCAAUGUGGCGGACUUAUCUCCAUUUGAUUUUUCAGAUUCGAGAACGAAUCUUUUUGAGGAAGGGGGGAAUGAUACGAGUCAUAAAGGCCCAACUCAAGCUCAAGAACGUGAUGGGCUCAAAUUACCACAAUGCCCAAUAACGAGGUCAAAGGCCAGGCAAAUAAUAAUGAAACUAAAUAGAACCGUUCAAGACUUCAUUAGCAAAGCCUUAGACGCGUAUACAAAAGAAAAAGAAAAUCAAGAUUCACUUUCUUGUUUUUAAGAAAAUUAAGAAACUUAAUCUUGGUCCAAUUUUGCUGUUUUGAGCGAUUUCAAGAAUCAAGAAAAUCAAGAUUUCAAAUCUUGGAAAUCUUGGUCCAAGAAACUGAAUCUUGCAGUUAAGGCCCAUUGGAUCUCAGUUACGAGCAUCAACGAACCAAUUUUAGGAGAGAAUAGAUUACAAGCCCAAGUUAUUGAAGAUACGGCACUUAGUUGAAAAUCAGGCCAAAUUGUCAAAGUGGCCCAAUUUGUAAAAUUUUGAUUGUUUAAAUACCUAGUUUAAUUUUUAGACUUUGGGAUUAUUAUAUAUGUAAAAAUUUGGCCCAAGCAGCCCAUUAAGUGCCUUGGCCGAAUUUGCCCUCUCAAUUUAUUAAUUAGGGUUUUUUAUAGUUUUCCUAAUGAGAUUUGGAAAAUAGUUAGAAGGCUUAUUAAUAGGCAUGGCUGGCCACAUUGUCAAACACAUUAAAAUUACAUUGAAAAUUUCAGAUUUGCUUUGACUGAAAAUUUUCUUUGAGUUCUUCAAGAAUUUUCUCUUGAGUUUUCUUUAGAAGUAGUUUUAACAAUCUUUUUGAUUGUGAGAGCCAUCUUCAGCCUUCUUCUUGCCAUUGAUCUUCAUUGAAGGGGAGAUUAGAGCCGUUUUGAUACGAGUCACAAAGGCCCAACCCAAGCUUAAGAAGGUGAUGGGCUCAAAUCAAGAAGAUCAAGAUUCACUUUCUUGUUUUCAAGAAAAUCAAGAAAUCGAAUCUUGGCCACAUUUUGCUGUUCGGAGCGAUUUCAAGAAUCAAGAAAAUCAAGAUUUCAAAUCUUGGAAAUCUUGGUCCAAGAAACCGAAUCUUGCAGCCAAAGCGCGUUGGAUCUCCGUUACGAGCGUCAACGACCCAAUUUCGGUAGGAGAUGGAUCACAAGCCCAAAUUCUUAAAGGCGAGGCCCAAUAAGUAAAUUCCCAGCCCAAUCAAGAAAUCCACACAUAUUUAGUUGAAAAUCAGGCCAAAAUGUCAAAGGGCCCAAUUUGUAAACAUUUUAGUUGUUUAAGUUAAUUUUUAAGUUUUAGGAAUAUCACAUGUGUAAUUCGGCCCAAAACAGCCCAAUAAGAUGCAUGGCUGAAUUUUCCUUUGUUUUUUUUAAUUAAGUUUAAAUUUUUUAAGUUAAUUUUUAAGUUUUAGGAAUAUCACAUGUGAUAGCCCAAAAUUGACCCUAGUCGGGACGUGGUUUUGGGACUGCUAAACCGAGUCACCGAAAUGUUUGAAUGUGAUAUUUAUUGUCUAGAAUAUGUAAUUAUGAAUGUGUGAAAAUUUCAAGCUUCGAUUUAGUCGAUUGCAUGUGAAUUUAGUCAAUAAGACUUAUGUGAGAAAAUUUUGAAAUGUGAUAGGUCAAAGCAUAAGGGCCUAUUAGUGCAUGUUGAAAAAGGGGGGACUUGCAUGUCAAUUUCCCCCCUACUAGUAGUGGCUGGCCAUGACAAGCAUGGUAGACCAAGUGUGAUAGGCAAGACAUGUCAUAGACAUGUCUUGUUGUUGCAUCAUGGGUGGAAAAAAAAUAAAAUAUUGAGCAUGGAAGUUAAAUAAUGAAAGGGAAUAUGAUGAAAACAAAAAAAGUGUGUGGUUAUUUCUCCCCCCCCCAUUUUGCAGAAACUAGAAAGAAAAAACAAAAAAAAAAGUGCUCAUCCUUUGGUUCAUCCUUGGCCAAAAAUUUUAAGGAGGAAGGGAGAAGAAAGGUUGAAGAGGUUCGGCCAUGCAUGUAGCUAGGCUAAGGUAUGUUUGAUGAUGUUCCAUGAGAUGCAUGCAUGUUUUAGUUGUUAGCUUGAGUUCUACCUAGCCCAUGGUCUAAAUCUUGCUAUGUGAUGGAAAUGACACUCGGCCAUGGAUGCAUCAUUCUUGGUUGAUGUUUGAUGUUGUGGUGAUGAGGCAUGAAGAUGAGUUAAGAUUCGGCCUAGGUGGAUUUUGUGUUAAUGCCAUUGCAUGCUAAAUAUGAAGCUUGUUAAUGAUGCAUGUGAUGGUGGAUUGAUGAUUCUUGAAUCUCCUUUUUAGCAUUUUUGAGUGAGCACAUAUGUACAUUGGUUGCUAGAUGAGGAAGAAUCGGCUAGCAAGUUGUGUGCUAAGGCCGAAUAUAACUUUUGUAUGUUAAUGAGCAAUGCAUGUGUUAAAUUGAUGGAAAGGGAGAGGAUGCUUUACUAGUGUAUAUAUGUGUGUAUUAGCCAAGUUUUGAACUUGAAACAAAAGGGUGUUUAGUCAAUACAAGUGACCAUACUUGUAGAAUGUAUUAAGUGUUGAAAUCAGCCCCAAAAUAGACAUGCAUAUUUGGCCAAGGGGGAAAAAAAUUAGCUAAAAUGUUGAGUUUGAUUCAUGAUUCUGUACAUAUGUGACUUUAAUGUCUAAUGUAUAAAUAUGGGCUAAGUGCCUUGUGUUCCUCUUUUCGAUGCUCAAAUGAUUAAAUCAAUUUAUUUGUUUAAUUAAGAUCAAGAGCAAAGGGGAAAUAAAUCCGACAAAUGGAAGGAAAAAGUGGUCGAAUAGCUAUCGGAAUCGUUCGACAACACCCGAGGUAAGUUCUUGAGUAAGAGAGCUUAAAUUAAGAUUUGAUUAGAUCAUGUUUUAAGCAAAUCAAAAUCAUGCUCUUUGUGUGUGGCUAUUGAGAUCGGGCUAUUAUCAGUUGCGAAUUCGAGAUUCGGACAUACCCAAAACUGCCUUCAGGAUGAGAUAUGGUCACUACGAGUUCUUAGUGAUGCCGUUUGGGCUCACUAAUGCCCCUGCGGUAUUUAUGGAUUUGAUGAAUCAGAUCUUCAGACCAUAUUUGGAUCGGUUCGUAGUUGUGUUCAUUGAUGACAUCUUGGUCUAUUCAAGAGAUGAGACCGAACAUGCUGAGCACCUGAGACUAGUGUUGCAAAUUUUGCGGGAGAAGCAGUUAUAUGCUAGGUUAAGUAAGUGUGAGUUCUGGUUAAGAGAGGUUAGCUUCUUGGGUCAUGUGGUAUCCGCAUCGGGUAUUCGAGUUAACCCGAGCAAAAUUUCAGCCAUACUUAACUGGAAGCCUCCAAGAAAUAUUACCGAAGUUCGGAGCUUCCUGGGGCUCGCCGGUUAUUACCGACGAUUUGUAAAAGGUUUCUCGAUGAUAGCCACACCAAUGACGAAGCUACUUCAAAAGGAUGUUAAGUUCGAAUGGACGGAGAAAUGUCAGAAAAGUUUUGAUCAACUAAAAACUUAUUUGACUGAAGCUCCAAUUUUAGUGCAACCCGAAUCAGGCAAAGAGUUCGUCAUUUAUAGUGACGCAUCCCUACUUGGGUUGGGUUACGUAUUGAUGCAAGAAGGUCGAGUGGUGGCCUAUGCGUCGAGACAAUUAAAGCCACAUGAGAAAAAUUAUCCGACUCAUGAUCUUGAACUAGCUGCCAUCGUAUUUGCUUUAAAAAUAUGGCGACAUUACUUAUUUGGUGAAAAGUGCCAUGUAUUUUCGGAUCACAAAAGUCUCAAAUAUUUGAUGACUCAAAGAGACUUAAAUCUGCGACAAAGACGUUGGCUUGAGUUGUUGAAAGAUUACGAGCUUGUCAUUGAUUACCACCCGGGAAAGGCUAAUGUGGUUGCGGACGCCUUAAGCCAGAAAUCAUUGUUUGCUUUAGGAGCGAUGAAUGUGCACUUGUCUGUUCUACCUGAAAAUGUGUUAGUAGCUAAAUUAAAAGCCAAACCAUUAUUGAUUCAUCAAAUUCGUGAAGCCCAGAAAGUUGAUGAUGAGUUGGUUGCAAAACGGGCUGAGUGUGUUCCGAACAAGGAAUCGGAGUUUCAAAUUGAUGAUGAUGAUUGUUUGAGGUUCAGAAGUCGUUUGUGUGUUCCAAGGAAUUCGGAACUCAUUUCGAUGAUUCUGAACGAAGCCCAUUGUAGCCGAAUGUCUAUUCACCCGGGGAGUACGAAAAUGUACAACGAUUUGAAACGUUGGUUUUGGUGGCAUGGUAUGAAACGAGACAUCUCCGACUUUGUUUCGAGAUGUUUAAUAUGUCAACAAGUGAAAGCGGAACAUCAAGUGCCUUCAGGAUUACUUCAGCCGAUCAUGAUACCCGAGUGGAAAUGGGAUCGAGUCACAAUGGACUUUGUGUCCGGACUGCCAUUGUCAGCAAGUAAGAAGGAUGCGAUUUGGGUUGUUGUUGAUAGACUGACUAAGUCGGCUCACUUUAUCCCCGUGCGUACGGAUUUUUCAUUGGAUAAACUAGCUGAAUUGUAUGUUUCUCAAAUUGUGAGAUUACACGGGGUACCUAUUUCUAUCGUGUCGGAUAGAGAUCCGAGAUUCACCUCGCGAUUUUGGAGGAAAUUGCAAGAAGCUUUGGGUACCAAGCUGCAUUUUAGCACUGCUUUUCAUCCCCAAACCGAUGGUCAAUCUGAGCGGAUAAUUCAGAUACUUGAGGAUAUGUUGAGAUGUUUCAUCCUCGAGUUCAGUAAUUCAUGGGAACGGUAUUUACCUUUGAUUGAAUUCGCUUACAACAAUAGUUUUCAAUCAAGUAUUAAGAUGGCACCUUACGAGGCUUUGUACGGUCGUAAAUGCCGUACACCAUUGUUUUGGACCGAGCUCGGUGAAAGUAAAAUUUUCGGAGUUGAUUUGAUUAAAGAUGCCGAACAGAAAGUAAAGGUAAUCCGUGAAAGUCUGAAAGCAGCCACAGAUCGUCAAAAAUCGUAUGCGAAUUUGAAACGAAAAGACAUUGAAUAUCAGGUGGGAGAUAAAGUGUUUCUUAAAGUUUCGCCUUGGAAAAAGGUACUCAGAUUUGGCCGUAAGGGCAAGUUGAGCCCGAGAUUCAUUGGGCCGUACGAAAUCUCCGAACGAGUUGGUCCGGUUGCGUAUAGAUUGAUUUUGCCCCCUGAACUUGAAAAGAUUCACGAUGUCUUUCAUGUUUCGAUGCUUCGACGUUAUAGAUCCGAUCCGUCACAUGUGAUUAAUCCCUCAGAAGUUGAAAUUCAAUCUGACUUGAGUUAUGAAGAAGAACCGAUGCGUAUCCUAGCUCGUGAAGUGAAGGAGUUGCGAAACAAAAGGGUUCCGUUAGUGAAGGUGUUAUGGCUCAAACACGGGAUCGAGGAAGCUACUUGGGAAACCGAGAGCUCGAUGAAAGAACGAUACCCAAACCUAUUUACCGGUAAGAUUUUCGGGGACGAAAAUUUCUUAAGUGGGGGAGAGUUGUGACAGUCCAAAAUUGACCCUAGUCAGGAAGUGGUUUCAGGACCGCUAAACCGAGUCACCAAAAUGUUUGAAUGUGAUAUUUAUUGUCUAGAAUAUGUAAUUAUGAAUGUGUGAAAAUUUCAAGCUUCGAUUUAGUCGAUUGCAUGUGAAUUUAGUCAAUAGGACUUAUGUGAGAAAAUUUUGAAAUGUGAUAGGUCAAAGCAUAAGGGCCUAUUAGUGCAUGUUGAAAAAGGGGGACUUGCAUGUCAAUUUCCCCCCUACUAGUAGUGGCCGGCCAUGACAAGCAUGGUAGACCAAGUGUGAUGGGCAAGACAUGUCAUAGACAUGUCUUGUUGGUGCAUCAUGGGUGGAAAAAAAAAUAAAAUAAUGAGCAUGGAAAUUAAAUAAUGAAAGGGAAUAUUAUGAAAACAAAAAAAGUGUGUGGUUGUUUCUCCCCCCCCCCAUUUUGCCGAAACUAGAAAGAAAAAACAAAAAAAAAAGUGCUCAUCCUUUGGUUCAUCCUUGGCCAAAAAUUUUAAGGAGGAAGGGAGAAGAAAGGUUGAAGAGGUUCGGCCAUGCAUGUAGCUAGGCUAAGGUAUGUUUGAUGAUGUUCCAUGAGAUGCAUGCAUGUUUUAGUUGUUAGCUUGAGUUCUACCUAGCCCAUGGUCUAAAUCUUGCUAUGUGAUGGAAAUGACACUCGGCCAUGGAUGCAUCAUUCUUGGUUGAUGUUUGAUGUUGUGGUGAUGAGGCAUGAAGAUGAGUUAAGAUUCGGCCUAGGUGGAUUUUGUGUUAAUGCCAUUGCAUGCUAAAUAUGAAGCUUGUUAAUGAUGCAUGUGAUGGUGGAUUGAUGAUUCUUGAAUCUCCUUUUUAGCAUUUUUGAGUGAGCACAUAUGUGCAUUGGUUGCUAGAUGGGGAAGAAUCGGCUAGCAAGUUGUGUGCUAAGGCCGAAUAUAACUUUUGUAUGUUAAUGAGCAAUGCAUGUGUUAAAUUGAUGGAAAGGGAGAGGAUGCUUUACUAGUGUAUAUAUGUGUGUAUUAGCCAAGUUUUGAACUUGAAACAAAAGGGUGUUUAGUCAAUACAAGUGACCAUACUUGUAGAAUGUAUUAAGUGUUGAAAUCGGCCCCAAAAUAGACAUGCAUAUUCGGCCAAGGGGGAAAAAAAUUAGCUAAAAUGUUGAGUUUGAUUCAUGAUUCCGUACAUAUGUGACUUUAAUGUCUAAUGUAUAAAUAUGGGCUAAGUGCCUUGUGUUCCUCUUUUCGAUGCUCAAAUGAUUAAAUCAAUUUAUUUGUUUAAUUAAGCUCAAGAGCAAAGGGGAAAUAAAUCCGAUAAAGGGAAGGAAAAAGUGGUCGAAUAGCUAUCGGAAUCGUUCGACAACACCCGAGGUAAGUUCUUGAGUAAGAGAGCUUAAAUUAAGAUUUGAUUAGAUCAUGUUUUAAGCAAAUCAAAAUCAUGCUCUUUGUGUGUGGCCAUUGAGCCGAAAUUACAAGAAUGAUAAGUGUUUUGUGUUUGAGUUUUGCUAACGAAAAUGAAAUACGAAUGUGCCAUGAUUUAUUGUUAAAUGUGCAUGGUUAUUUGAAUGAUGUCCGGGCUAAGUCCCGAAGGCUUUGUGCUAAGUGACCAUAUCCGGACUAAGAUCCGAAGGCAUUUGUGCGAGAUACUAAAUCCGGACUAAGAUCCGAAGGCAUUUGUGCGAGUUACUAAAUCCGGGUUAAGUCCCGAAGGCAUUUGUGCGAAUUACUAUAACCGGGCUAUGUCCCGAAGGCAUUUGAACGAGGAGCUAUAUCCGAUUAAAUUCCGAAGGUACGUGAUUUGGGAAUGAAUGAUCUUGCUGUAAAAAUUUCAGUUAAUACUCUAGAAACAUCCCAACAUUGAGGUAUGUUUCGUAUGUGCUUGAAUUUAGUUGAGCCCUUACAAAUAAGUAUUCGCUCAGUUGAUAAACGAGCUACCGACCUUUGGCUAAGUUGAUCUUUUGUGUAUGUACAUAAGGGUUGGUAAUGUGAAGCAAGUAUGAUAUCGAAAAUUUGUGCAUAUGAAAUUAUCCGUUUAGCUAUAUGAAUGCUAUACUUUUGUUGUGCUGGAAUUCCUUGCUCAAACUUACUAAGCAUAAAUUGCUUACUCCGUUUCAUUGCUCCUCUAUUUUAUAGAUUUGGUUCUCCAGCUAUCGGACUCGGGAUCUUGAAGUCAAAGUCGCCCACACUAUCAAAGCCCCCCUUUUGGUACAAUUUUGGUUGAACUUCGAAAUGGCAUGUAUAGGACUACCCGUUUGUUGUGGGUCGUGGACCCUUUGGACUUGUAUAAUUUUGGAUAGCCAUGCGAAAAUGGCUUAUAUGUGUUUGAGUAUAAUGUUAUAAUCAUUUGGUGUGCAUAUGCUUGACAAGGAUUGGCCAUGGGAAUGGUUAAUCACUAUCAUAAAUUGUGCUAUUUAUGCAAAAAGGGCUAGUUGAAUUAUGGAAACUAUGAAAUAGGUAAAGUCUACCUUAAAGGCAGAUGCUGACAGCAGCAGUGAUGUAGAUUUGGAAAAUCACUAAAAAUAGUAGGAAUGAAAUUAAAUAGUUAAUAAAUUAUUUAAACGAACCUUGAUGAAUCUAUUUUCAUAGGAAAGUAACGAAACAAUCAUACGGACAGUAUGUUAAGAGAUAUUCAGGUUCUUGUGAGACAGGGCCAGAACGGUUUCUGGAUUUCCUGUUCCGACUUUGGAAAUUCAUUAAAAAUUAACCAGAGACAAUUAGGAGUCAAGCCAUAUAUGUAUAGAUUACUCUCUGAGUCUAGUUUCUAUAGAAACAAACGCCAUCAGUAUUGAAGCCCUGUACAGGGAGAUAUCCAAGUCGUAAUGCGCAAAGGUCAGUGUAGUCGAUCCCUGUAACAUGGGAGACUUUGACUAAUAAAAUGUACUAAUUGGCCCAACCAAAAAUUCUAGAAAAAAAUAUGCAGAUGGACAUAUGAGUAUAGUUUCAGGGAAAAUUUAUGGAACUAGAUUUCGAGUUUCAGAACUAAAGAUAUGAUUUUUUAAGCGACUAGUACGCAGACUGGCAGCUUGUCUGAGAAUUUUUUUUAAGUGGUUUGAAGUCUGUUAACACCUCGUGUUCGACUCCGGCGAUGGCCUCGGGUUCGGGGUGUUACAUCACAUGUUAAAUUCGGCCCAAAACAGCCCAAUAAGAUGCAUGGCCGAAUUUUCCUUUGUUUUUUUAAUUAAGUUUAAAUUUUUUAAGUUUUCUAAUUAGAUUAGGAUUUGUUGGAGGCCUAUAUAAGCAUUGGCCAGCCACCCUUUGUAAACAUCUUAUUAUUAUUUUUUCUAUCAAAUUUCAGAUUUGUUGAGUGCAGAAUUUUCUUUGGGGUUUUCUCCAAGAAUUCUCUCGAGUUUUCUUUAGAAGUUGUUUUAACAAUCUUUUGAUUGUGGGAGCCAUCUUCAACCUUCUUCUUGCCAUCGAUAUUCUUUGGAGGGGAGAUUAGAGCCGUUUGAAGAGAUUUGUGAAAUCUUUCGGGAUUUAUUUGUUUCUUGCUUCUCCUUUAAUUGAAUUUGGGGAUUUAAAUUCAAAUCUGAUUCGGUUUAAUCUUAAUCUUUGUUUUUGAUUUCAGAUCUGUUCGUCUAGGAUCUUUCGUAGGAGUUUCUCGUGACUUGGCAACUCGAUCUUGGUCCGUGCGCAACCCCGUAUCAUUUGGUAUCAGAUUUUGGGCGUUUUGGGUGUUCUUGGUUGAUUUCUAAACUGAUCUCUAUUUUUUAAAGCAUAAACAGCAGUUUUACCCAGAAAAAUUGUUCAAAAAAAUUCAUUUGAGUGGGUAAACGUUGUCCGAUUGAUCUGAAAUUUUACAUACAUGUUUUUGGAACUAUGAUUGAAUAUAAAAAAAUUAUUCCCGCAAAAAAAUCAGUCAAAAAAUUCAAAAAAAUCAAAAAAUACGAAAUUCAAUAAAAAUUUAAAAAAAGAUUCAGCAGGUUGAAUUUGGUGCCCAAAAUUUCCAGAUAAAAAAUUCAAUAUGUAAGGACAUUCCAGAUUUAAUUUUGUGAUUUUUAGAGAUCGGGAACACCUCGAACGAAGUUGUCAAGUUACUUUUCUUUGCUUAUACUUGUGCCGGUUUCUCAUCUAAUAUUUUGUUGUUCUUGUUUGUUUUCCAGCAUUGAUUAAACUCAAGAUCUCAUCGUUUAAGUUGUUCUCCUAUUGGCAGCACCCAUUCGAACCCAAAAAUCCCCAAUUCCUAGGGUUUGGCCGAUUGGAUUUCUUUCAAUUUGGGAAUCAAUUGAUUGCUGGAAAUUGGGCAUUCUUGGCCGAAUCAAUUUGUUGACCGAUUUGCAAUCUUUCUAUACUUCCAAUUUCGUUUGAUUCAUCUAUUCUAUUUCUUUGUUUCUUGCUGCUCCUUUAAUUGAAUUUCGGGAUUUAAAUUCAAAUCUGAUUCGGUUUAAUCUUAAUCUUUGUUUUUGAUUUCAGAUCUGUUCGUCUAGGAUCUUUCGUAGGAGUUUCUCGUGACUUGGCAACUCGAUCUUGGUCCGCGCGCAACCCCGUAUCACGUUUGAAGGGAGUUGUGAAAUCUUUAUCGAUUUCAAGGCUUCUUAGGACUUUUCUUUAUUCUUUUGCUGUUCAUUCUUCUUUAUUGAAUUGUGCUUGUGCCGUUUGGUUGAAUAAUUUGGGAUUAAUUGUUCUUGUUUCGUUUCAGCCAUUCCAAACUUCAAGAUCUGAUUUGGCACUUCCUUGGACAUAAAGAAACACUUUUGAUUCACAAAAAUCCCCCUUUUCUUGCCGUCCAAUCCCUAGAACUAGUGUCCAUUGAUUUCGUAAUCUGUUUUUAAUUUAGUUGUUGUUUUGUGUUCUUUGAUAGUUUCGGCUUAUUGGAAGUUAAUCUUGGGGCUUAAUUUCGUGUUCUUGGCUUCCAAGAACAUCUAUUGUUAAGUGUUUUGAUUCUUGGUUGUUCUUUAUUGUUUUGGGGAUUUUUAGUUUCCAGAUCUAAUUGAUUCUAAUUAAGUUUUGUUGUUUCAUUUCAGAUCCAAACGUUUAGAGUUUUAAUAGGAGUUUCCCGUGACUUGACAACUUGAUCUUGGUCCGCGCUCAACCCUCUAUCAUUUGGUAUCAUCUUUUGGGCGUUUUGGGUGCUCUUGGUUGAUUUCUAAACUGAUCUCUUUUUUUAAACAACAAACAGCAGUUUUACCCAGAAAAUUUUUUGGAAAAAAUUCAUUCGAGUGGGUAAAUAUUUUCCGAUUGAUCUAAAAUCUUACAUGCAUUUUUUUGGCACUGUGAUUGAAUAUAAAAAAAAUAUUUCCCGCAAAAAAUUGAAAAAGAAAAAAUCCAAUAAAAUAUUAAAAAAAAUAUUCAGCGGGUUGAGUUUGGUGCCCAAACUUUCCAGAUCAAAAAUUCAAUAUUUAAUGACAUUCCAGAUUUAAUUUCGUGAUUUUUGGAGAUCAGGAACACCUCGAACAAAGUUGUCAAGUUACUCCGCAGUUUUUCAGGUUUUUUGGAUUUCAGCAAUUUUUAUUGAUUCUUAGCUGUAGGUUUUCAUUUGUUUUGCCUUUAUUCUCCCUUUACACUGUCUAACACCUUCUUGUUUCUUGUGUUAGUAGGAUUUUAAGGUGUGCACAAUUCUUCCUCGGUGCGACACAAAUCAAUUGGUGUCUCGUCAAUUUUGGCAUCCUAGUGCAAAUUAGGAUUCUUUGGUAGUUUCGGUUCAUACACUUUCUAAUUCAUUGAUAUAGACUCUACUAAAGAAUUCACAAGACUGAAUUCUAUUUCUUUAAGAAUUUGAUUUUUUUCUUUUUGAGUGAUUAACAGUGAGGUUUGCUAAUUUUACUUUUUGAGUGUUGAGUGUUUGUUUUGUAGGUUUUUGAAAAAAGGAAAAAAAUGUUGAGAGUUGGUCAAGUUGAUGAUGACCAUAAUGAUGUCCAUGAUAAAUUUAAAAAUAUCCAACAACAGUUAGACGAACGGGCUGCCUUACUUCGAACAUUGAGUGCUACUAUCAAUGAGCUGAAUUGAAUUUAAACCAAGCUCAAACGAGCUGAAUUAAGCUCAUGUGAGCUAAAAUAAAAUUCGGUGAGCUGAACCAAGUUAAAUGGAGCUUGAGGAGCUGAAUUCAAGCUGAAAUCAAGGGCAUCCCUGGCCAGGGUCGUAUCAUUCCCCCCUUCUUUAGAACGACUUGUCCUCAAGUCGAGCCGUUGGUUCACUCGAUCAUAGCUCCGCUUACUCAUCUUUCCUCGAUCAAACGAAAUCGAACACAAAUAAAAUAAACCACCAAACUGUUUUGUUACAUCUUCACCAUACAAAGUCUCAUCAAACGAAGGAAUUAUUUUAAAUGAGUAAUCACAAAUCAUCAAGAAUUCAUUUGAGCAAAUAUGUGGCCCAAGUACCAUUUGGGUAGAACAUUCAUAAUCCUUGCAAGAAGGUAUUUUCCAAAUUUCAUACCCACAAUCGAUUGAACAAAGCUUUUUGCAAGUUAUGAUUUUACCACUUAAUCGGCUUAAAUCUUGCAUAGUUAAGCUUAACAGUGGCCAUUGAUCUUUCACCUUUUCAACAAACUUGUCAUCAAGGAGAAUCUUACCAAAAUUUUUCAAGAGACAUGUGGACACAUUCAACUUAAUCCGUUCAUUGAUCAAGCAGAUAAACUCCUCACCACAACUUAUUGAACACAAAUUUUUAUCACAAACAGAUGAAUGCACAGUAAAACCUUGUAAUGGAAAUUGAACGAUUGGUUCUUCCAAAAUCGCAUCAUCAGCAUCACUAAAAACAGAUGAUUCAUUUUUAAAUAAAGCUGAACAGUUAAACACAUCACAAUUUAAAUACCUUGCAACAACCAAUUCUUCAACAAAAAUUUUAUUACCAACCGAAUAGGGCAGAGAAAUUUUAAAGUUAUCGUAAGUCAUACCUUGUUUACCUCGAGGGAUGGAAAAGCAAGGAUCAUUUUUACCUUUGUCGAUCAUCAUAAAUCUUCUCUCCUCGGAAAUGUAGUCUAGUCGAAUCUCUGUGGCUAAAUUAACCUUAACGAAAUGAAAUACGAACUUCAAAUACAACCACAAAAAUGGAUUAAGGAAUGAAUUUAAAUUGAAAUCAAAUUUUUCAUACCUCAGUUCCUUAUUCAACACCCAAUUAUCAAAACAAUAGAAAUUGUUCACACAAAAUUGAUGAAGCUUGACUUUCCCAUAAAACGAACCAAAAUAGAUUCCGGGUUUAAAAACUUGAUUUUGAGUAUUCAUGCCAAAAUGUAGCAAAAAUUUCAUUAAACCAAACACGUUAAACCAAUGGGAUUUUUUCAUACACAGGGACAAACAAUUAAAACUUUUUACAUUCAUCAAUUCAUACUUGCACAAAUUCAUGGAUUUUCCACAAAGCGUUAAUUGGUGCACAAAAUUGUCACAAAUGAAAAAUUUAAUCGCCUUUCGUGAAAAACCGUCAUCACGCAAAAUUAAAUCUUUGGUUUGUUGAUUGGAACAAAAAUCAACCACAUUCAGGGAGUAGCAAUUAAUCAGACCAAAAUAAGGAGAGCGUUUAGAAAUUAAGUCACUAAAAAGUAUUUCAACAAUUUUCAAACCUGGUGGUCGUGACUCGAUCAUUAACAUUUCCUCACCUCUCUUACCUUUGAACUCUUGGGGCACGUUUUCAUCUUCAACCUUACCUAUACUGACCAUAUGAAAAUGUCUUUCAUCGGAAAGGUAGUGAAGUUGAAAAUUAUCGUUUGAUAUCUCGGGCACCUGGAAAGAAGAAACAGAACAAGAACAAGUUUCAUAUGGAUUAAUCGAAAUGCUCCUCACUUUUUCUGGUUCGUUUAUCUCUUUUUCUCUCGUUUCUUUUCUAAUCUCAACUUAUUUUUUUCUCUUUUCAUUUCUUCUCUCAUUUUCAAUUUUAUUUUCGACCUCACUCUCUUUUUGGAUUUCUUUUUCUUUUUCAAUCUUUUCUUCUUUUCUUUCGAUUUCUCUUUCUCGCUUGCACUCUUGUUCAAUCUCAAUUUCUUUUUUGAAUUCUUUCUCUUCAUUUUCUUUUUCUCUCACUUUUUUGAUUUCUUGUUCCUUUUCUUUCAUUUCUUUUUUUCGUCUCUCGAUUUCAUUCCAUAUAUGCUCAUUUUCUCUCAUCAACAUUUCUUGUCUUUCUUUUCUUCUUAUUUCUUUUUCUUUUUGCCUCGCUCUUUCAUUAUAGGAUGGAGAUGUUGCAAAUGAAUCAGCACAAAAUGACUCUCGUUGGGUAUAAUUAGAACGACUUUCAUACAAAAAAUGAUCACCUCUUCGAGAUUGAUUCUUGGCGGACGAAUACCUUGGUGCAUAUGAAGGACUACUUGUGAUUCCUCGUUCGUCACCUUGAAAAGCUUCAAACUCAAAACUUGCUUUGCUUCGUCUUGAGUUCUUCGUUGAAUAGAAAUCCCGAUAAGAAUCUCUUAGCGAGUAGUCUUUGGAUGCGUAUUGCCGUGAUGAUCUCGACUCCAUUUCUCGACUUGGUGGAUUUUGUUUCCGUUGGGACUUUUCCUCCACUCGGUUCAAACGUCUUUUUAAUGGGCUUAGUUUUUCCUCCAAAAUUCGGCCCAUCUCGUUCACCAAGUAUUGAAAUUCAUCAGUAGAGAAUUCUUCUUGAGACAUGAUUUAAUUACUAAAAAAAUGAUUAAAACAAAACAAAAAUUAAAUACCUCACCACAAAAAUCUCACGUUUCACUCGCAAAGAAAAUUGGAUAGCACACCACUCGUGUUUACGCUCGUUUAAUGGCUUUUGAUCACUCUAAUGUACUCACCACUCGUGCCUUUUUCCACUCGUCUCACUCUCGUGAAUUCGUAUUUUGUUUCAAGAAGACUUAUUGUGGCUUAGAGGGUCAGCUUCAAAUGGGUUACAAGGGAUAACAUCGGGUGUAGGGUAGGCUAAACAAAGAAAAUAAAAAUCAAAGUAUGUGUGGCGUUUUGGGGGGGUAGAGGGAAUGGUAGAAUGAAUGGAUGCUCGGAAGCAACAAGAAACAAAAUAAAACUUACAAGACUUUUCACUUUUUUUAUACUUCAAUUUUUUUGAAUUUUUUUUGAAUUUUUUUUGAUUUUUUUUUCAAAUUUCCUCUCUUUUUUUUUUCAAUUACAAUAUGCUGAAAUACAAAGGAAGAAGAAAAAAAAUUACAACCUAAUUUUUUUUUCUCGUUACGAACCUACUCCGAGCUUGGUACGAUUGUCGGCAUUCCUCGUUUUAGUAGCUCUGAUACCAGAUGAUGUGAUCCGGCCCGGGUUAAUUGAGUCGUUUCACGUAAUUGCCCGAUCGUCGAUGAGGAAUAGUUGAGUUAUCGGAAAUAGGAUGAAAUAAGGCUAAAGAUGCGAAAGCUUUCAAGUGGUUUUAAAGGUUGGCUAAGGUGAUGGUAAAUUUAUAAGGGUAGUAGGCUCGAUUUAAGGAUAAAAAUAAGAAAAAAUGGAAGUUGAUAAAUGAAGGCUCGGUUUUGUAAAAAGAUAUUAUAGUUGGGUAAAAUCUAGGAUAGUCGGUGGAAUGGAUAAAUGAGCUUAAACACCAGAAACGAUUCAACACUAAAAAGUGUCACCCCGAUUUCUAUUCGGUUCAAGGUGGGAUUGCGGAAUUGUAGAAGGGUUGAACGCCACACCAAAGCAAGGCGAUAAGUUCAAAAGAGAACGAUAGACGCCACUAGUACGCUAGAUAAGUUCAUUCAAAUGAUCAAAAGUCAAAAGUCCUUUUACAAUGAAAAUGAACAACUAUUUAUAGUGUUCAGCUAGGUAGCCGAAUGGCCAAAACAAAGACUUAAUGUCUAAGUAAUUAAUUAGGCUAGAAAAUGCUAGAAAAUUUUGGAAAUAAAAAACUAAAUUGCUGGAGCUAAAUUCAGCUGAAUUUGAAGCUCAAGGGACGAUUUCUAGAAGAGCAAAUGCACUUGGAGAAAUGGCAGCAGCUAGGUUCAGCCAAUUGAGCUUAAAUGAGCUCAUUAAAAUGUAAUUCUUGGCUGAAAAGAGACCAGCAUUAAAGGUGAACGUGAACAGCCUUGAAGGUGUGAAAAAGGAGUUGGAAAAGUCUUUGGAAGUGUGAACAAUGAUCAGCCAAAUGGUCCUUGGUGUGAACUCCAAAUGUGAACGCAUAGGUGCUGUUUUGGGAAGUGCAUCGGCCAGCUUUUGGAGAAUGAAUUUAGUUGCUCUUCUUGGCUGAAUUAACACCUUGAAUUAUCAUAAAAUGAGCCAUAUCCAUGAAUCCAACCAUUCAUGUAUUCAGCCAUUCAUGUAUACUCCCAUACGUUGUAUUGAACCAUUCAUGCACUUCAUAUCCAACCAUUCAUGUAUUCAGCCCUUCAUGCAUUCAGCCAUCCUACAAGAAAAAAACAUGAACUAAAUUAAGUGCAAAUGUAUAUUCGGUUCAUGUAUUCAGCCCUUCAUGCAUUCAGCCAUCCUACAAGAAAAAACAUGAACUAAAUUAAGUGCAAAUGUAUAUUCGGCUGAACUAAAUGGUAUUAAGACAAAUUAAAUAUAAUCCAGCCACCUAAUUAAAUUCGGCUAACACAACAUAAUUAUAACAUGUAAUAAGCUGACAAGUAAUUAAGAGCUGUAACUAAAUUAACUAAUUAACUUAAAUAAUUAAUUUAUUCCAGCAAAUAAAAUUAAUUUAGCUAAAGAGCUAAUAAUGAGCUGAAUUGAAUUUAAACCAAGCUCAAAUGAGCUGAAUUAAGCUCAUGUGAGCUAAAAUAAAAUUCGGUGAGCUGAACCAAGCUAAAUGGAGCUUGAGGAGCUGAAUUCAAGCUGAAAUCAAGGGCAUCCUUGGCCAAGGUCGUAUCAUAAGCUUUGUAGAGUUAUUAUUGAUGGUGAAAGUUGCUCGAACGUAGCUAGCACGACGAUGGUGGAAAAGCUUUGUUUAACCACUACCAAGCAUCCAUGACCUUAUCAACUGCAAGGGCUUAGCAACGAAGGCCAAUUUAAGGUCACUCAACAAGUACGUAUCGCCUUUUCUAUCGGCAAGUAUCAAGACGAAGUCGUGUGUGACGUAGUGCCUAUUCAAGCCUGCCAUUUGUUGCUAGGAGAACCAUGGAAAAGGGAUCAAAAGGUCACCCACGAUGGUCAUACCAAUAGGUAUUCUUUCAAGCAUCAAUGAAGGAAAGUCACCUUAGUGCCGCUCACUCCGGAACAAGUCCAUGAGGAGCAAAUCAAACUAAAAAAUUCUGUUGUUAAAACAAGUGAGGAAAAAGAAAAAGGAGAAGAGAAAAAUAAAAGUGAAAAAGAAGAAAAUGAAAAUGAAAAAGGCGAAAAGGAAACUGAGAGAGAAACAAAAAAAAUGUGAAUGAAGUGAGUGAAAAAGAGAGAGAGCUUAAACAAGGAAUGAGUGAAGAAGAAGAGAGUGCUCAAACACAAGGGAGGAAUAUUUUUGCUAACCCCCAUUCGAAAUCGCCUUGUGAUUUCUCUUUGUUUUAGGUUUGCAAGAUUCCACCCAUGGACAGGUUCCAGCUUCAUUACCCUUCUACUGAGAGACGUUUUCAAUUGAUUGAACAAGGUAAAACUGAUCCUCAUUUUCCCACCUCUAAUGGUAAGCUAGGUGAAGUUUCUCUAUUCUCUAAACAACUUCAUUCAACUCGUAUUGAUGACUUUGCUCAUGACUUGAAUUUUGAAAAGGUACUGUAUGUUAUUGUCGAUAAUUGCCAUUCUUGGAUUGAUGACAUUUUAAUUUACUCAACAACAUUAAAUGAUCAUGUUUUCCAUGUUGGAACAGUUUUAGACAUUCUAANNNNNNNNNNNNNNNNNNNNNNNNNNNNNNNNNNNNNNNNNNNNNNNNNNNNNNNNNNNNNNNNNNNNNNNNNNNNNNNNNNNNNNNNNNNNNNNNNNNNNNNNNNNNNNNNNNNNNNNNNNNNNNNNNNNNNNNNNNNNNNNNNNNNNNNNNNNNNNNNNNNNNNNNNNNNNNNNNNNNNNNNNNNNNNNNNNNNNNNNNNNNNNNNNNNNNNNNNNNNNNNNNNNNNNNNNNNNNNNNNNNNNNNNNNNNNNNNNNNNNNNNNNNNNNNNNNNNNNNNNNNNNNNNNNNNNNNNNNNNNNNNNNNNNNNNNNNNNNNNNNNNNNNNNNNNNNNNNNNNNNNNNNNNNNNNNNNNNNNNNNNNNNNNNNNNNNNNNNNNNNNNNNNNNNNNNNNNNNNNNNNNNNNNNNNNNNNNNNNNNNNNNNNNNNNNNNNNNNNNNNNNNNNNNNNNNNNNNNNNNNNNNNNNNNNNNNNNNNNNNNNNNNNNNNNNNNNNNNNNGAAUGGUAGCACCUGGAAUGAAAUCAAUCUGGUGCUCAAUGCCACGAAGAGGUGGUAAUCCCUUUGGUGUUUCUUUUGGAAACACAUCCUCAAACUCUUGCAAAAGGGACACAAUUGAUGCAGGCAAAUCAGCAGGGAACUCAGCCAAUAAACAAUGAUCUUUAAACAUUAAAAUAAACAAGGAUUGGUAAGAGGAAAGACAUUUCCUGAUUUCUCGACUGCUUGCAUAUACACUCAUCUUUUUCUUCUCCUUUGCAACUUUCUUACUUUUUUUCAAGCUUGUUUGAUCUUCAAUUACUUGACUCGGUGUCAAAGGAGCCAAAGUAAUCUUCUUACCUGGAUGCAUAAAAGAGUAUCGAUUUGUAAAACCAUCAUGCAUUGCCCUCUUGUCAUACUGCCAAGGGCGCCCCAAAAGAAGGUGAGUAGCAUCCAUCGACACAACAUCACAAAGGACCUUGUCCUUGUAGUUUCCAAUUGAAAACGGUACAACCACUUGUUUCGUCACUUUAAGUUCUCCAUCGUCAUUCAACCACUGCAACUUGUACGGAUUCGGAUGCUUUGUCGUCUUAAGACCUAAUCUAUCAACCAUCACUGAACUAGCAACAUUAGUACAACUACCGCUAUCAAUAAUCACAACACAUACCUUAUCUUGAACCUUGCAUCGUGUGUGAAAGAUAGUCUCACGUUGUUGCUCGUCUUGCACCUGUUGCACAUUCAAACUACGUUUGACAACCAUGAUCUCCAUAACUUGACCAGAUUUAGCAACUUCUAGGUCAUUCUCUUCAUCUUCUUUAGUCGGGAGUUCAUGUACUUCUUCCUCAGAAUCUGAUUCGAUCUCUCCAUCUUCUCGCAUCAAUAUAACCCUCCGAUUAGGACACUGGCUAGCAACAUGUCCUCUACCAAGGCACUUAAAGCACUGAAUAUCUCUUGAUCGUUCUGGUGCCACCAUUGUGAUACGACCACGCCUCCGGCACAUUUUUUGAUCAGCUCCAUAAGUAUUUCUUGCACACCCAUGUGAGCUAAAUUAGCUCAAUUGCAUCUCGCUGAGCUUCGUUUAGCUUGUUUCCAGCUCAAUGGGAUCAUUUUGCUCAAUUUGAGUUUAUUUUAAUUCUUAAAUUUUCAUUUGCUAAAAUAAAUUGAAUAAGUUAGUUUAUUUAUUUAUUCCAGCACAACUAAGUGUUAGUAUUAAAUUUAUUAAAAUUGGACAUUUUAAUUAGGUGUUUUAAAUAUGUUUUAUUUUUAUUUUUUUUAAUGUGUCCUAUUUUCAUACAUAGCAUAAAUAUGUCUAGGCUAUUACAUCUAUUUAUUAUGACGAAUUUAAUGCUGCCACUGCAUGUUAUAAAUAUGUCUGGACGAAAUUAAUGCUGCUGCUACAUGUUUGGACGAAUUUAAUGUAUGUUUUUAAGGUGUCCAGCUGAAUUUAAUUGUCAUUACAUCAUUUAAUUUGUUUUGCUACAACCGAAUUUAAUGAUGUCUUAAAUGGUGUCCAGUUGAAGUUAAUUGUGGCGCCGAAUUAAAUAUGUCUAGUUAACCAUUUAAUGUUGUCUUAACAUGAAUUAAUGGUUGUUGCAUGCAGGUACAUGGACAGCAUUAAAAGAAGUGGUUGUUGCCGAAAUUAAAAUUGCUGGAAUUCAUGUGCAGCAAAAGCAAUUAUGGACGGCCAUUCAAUGGAUGCUGGAAGCAUUUAAGGAGCUGCUUGUGCUUUUUCAUGUGGCCAUUUAAUGGACGAAAUUAAAGAAGCUGCUUGCUGAUUUAUUGUGCAGCAAAGCCAUGAAUUAAAUGUGAUGUUCCACAUGCAAGGAACGUCCACUUAAUGAGCUACUGAUUUAUUUUUUUCGUGCACAGCAAGGGAUCCAUGAAGAGUUGCUGAUUCCUCUUUUCCAUGAGCCAUUUUCGUUCUUCUCAAAUGCCAUAAAUGUGCCAUCCAUGUGAGGGAAUGUGCCUCUUCGUGGAGAUUAAAAAGCUAUGACUCCUCACAUUUAUUUGGCAGCCCAUUUCUCUUCCCCAAGUUGGCCUUUGAGCUCCCUAAGCAUCCAUAAGAGCUUUCACACAAGUUGGACAAAUUUAGGCCAACCUAAACAAUUCUAUUCAGCCAUUUCAGCUAAACCAUCACCUCAUUAAUUCAAGGCUAUUAGAAGACAUCAAAUGGCUGUCCAUUGACGUUUCCAAAGCUGGGAAUCUUCAAGAAAGCUUCAAGGGACGUUCUAGGAAGCUACAUGAAAUUUUCAAUUCAUUUGCUUUGAAAAUAAGCUGACUUUUUAGCUGCUCAAGUGUCCAUUUGGCUAGCCUAGGAAUUUAGCUAUAAAUAGUUUACUUUGUAAUUGUUUUGGGGUUAGACAAUAUUUUUUUAAAACUUAUAUGAAAUUUGUUUACUUUGUGAGUUUGUUUUCAACUCUCAUUGUUCUCCAAGGACUGGUUAGACUUAUCAAGUAACCCUUGUGGCGUCAACCCGUUUUUAUAUUUCGAACUUAUACUUUGCACCCAAAGUGUGCCGUUCAAAGUUAUACAGAGGUUCCUAUCAUCUUUGAUAGUGGGUCGAGGUUCCAUUUUAUUCGUUUUCCAUCCAUACAACAUUUAACCUUUCCUAAGUAUUCGUAUAAGUCCCGGGUUAACACACUUAUAUUAUGUUGGUUCAACUUGAAUACUUGGUUUUCAUUCACCUAUCAACCUCAAUACAUUCCAUAACUGAUACGAGUCAUAAAGGCCCAAUCCAAGUUCAAGAACGUGAUGGGCUCAAAUUGCCACAAGGCCCAAUAACGAGAUCAAAGGCCCGACAAAUGCGGUCCAAACUAAAUGGGACCAUUCAAGAGCUUGUUAGCAAGGCCUUAGAUUCAUACAAGAGAGAACAAGAAAAUCAAGAUUCACUUUCUUGUUUUCAAGAAAAUCAAGAAAUCGAAUCUUGGCCCAAUUUUGCUGUUCGAAGAGAUUUCAAGAAUCAAGAAAAUCAAGAUUUCAAAUCUUGGAAAUCUUGGUCCAAGAAACCAAAUCUUGCAGCCAAAACACAUUGGAUCUCCAUUACGAGCAUCAACGACCCAAUUUUGGUAGGAGAUGGAUCACGAGCCCAAAUUCUUGAAGGCAAGGCCCAAUAACCAAAAUCCAGCCCAAUCAAGAAAUUUCUUCAUACUUAGUUGAAAAUCAGGCCAAAAUGUCAAAGGGCCCAAUUUGUAAACAUCUUACUUGUUUAAUUUAAUUUUUUAAUCUUUAGGAGCAUUACAUGUAAAAUUCAGCCCAAAAUAGCCCAUAUAAGUGCAUGGCCGAAUUUACCUUGUUAUUUUAUUAAUUAGGUUUAAUUUUUUAUUAGUUACUUGUGAGAUUAGGAUUUGUUGGAGGCCUAUAUAAGCAUUGGCCAGCCACCCUUUGUAAAAACAUCUUAUUAUUAUUUUUUCUAUCAAAUUUUAGAUUUGUUGAGUGCAGAAUUUUCUUUGGGGUUUUCUCCAAGAAUUCUCUCUUGAGUUUUCUUUAGAAGUUGUUUUAACAAUCUUUUGAUUGUGGGAGCCACCUUCAACCUUCUUCUUGCCAUCGAUAUUCUUUGGAGGGGAGAUUAGAGCCGUUUGAAGAGAUUUGUGAAAUCUUUCAGGAUUUCAAGGAUCUUUAGGACUUAUCCUUUAAUUCUUGCUGUUUUCGAUUUCUUUCUUUACUUUUCUUUGCUUAUACUUGUGCCGAUUUCUCAUCUAAUAUUUUGCUGUUCUUGUUUGUUUUCCAGCAUUGAUUAAACUCAAGAUCUCAUCGUUUAAGUUGUUCUCCGAUUGGCAGCACCCAUUCGAACCCAAAAAUCCCCAAUUCCUAGGGUUUCGCCGAUUGGAUUUCUUUCAAUUUGGGAAUCAAUUGAUUGCUGGAAAUUGAGCAUUCUUGGCCGAAUCAAUUCCUUGGCAGAUUCGCAUCUUUUCUUUCUUCUCAAUUUCGUUUGAUUCAUCGAUUCUAUUUCUUUUCUUCUUGCUGCUCUUUUAAUUGAAUUUGGGAAUUUUAAAUUCAAAUCUGAUUCGGUUUAAUCUUAAUCUUUGUUUUUGAUUUCAGAUCUGUUCGUUUAGGAUCUUUCGUAGGAGUUUCCCGUGACUUGGCAACUCGAUCUUGGUCCGCGCGCGCCUCCGUAUCAAUAACCCCUUUUGAACUAAAUUUGAGCCUUUAUCUCUUCUUUCUUAACCUAUUUCGUCCACCCUCGAGUAUUACUCCAAUUCACGAUCGGGAACAACAACGACUCGGAUUCAUCAACAAGGCCGGGGGCGUAUCACAUUGGUUGUUUGCCACGUCCAUUAUCAGCAAUGGGAGGCUUUGGUUUGCUGGAUUCACCUGGCUCUCGAAUCCGUAAUGGCGGUUGUGGUGCUUGUUUCCUAGUAUUGUUAGGGGUAUAUAAAGGAUUCGAAAAAGAUUUAAAUGGAGUAUUACCUCGAGUAGAAGCUUUUCUACGUUGUUGUCGCUCAAUUUUGAUCGCCAUAUGCACCAUGUCAUCCAACUCAACAUAAUGUUGCAUUUCAACAAUGUUUGCUAUUUCAGAAUUUAAACUUGCCAAAAACCGAGCCAUAGUCGCCUCACGAUCCUCAACUAUGUUUGCACGCAUCAUGGACAUCUCCAUCUCCUUGGAAUAGUCCUCAACGCUCCUGUUGCCCUGUUUCAAGGUUUGUAAUUUCUGAAAUAAAUCUCGAUGAUAGUGAGAAGGAACAAAUCGUCUCCGCAUGAUACGCUUCAUAUCUUCCCAUGUUCUCACUAGACCUUCACCUGUACGUCGUCGCCUAAUCAGUAAUUGGUCCCACCAUACUAGUGCAUAGUCAAUAAACUCCAUAGCUGCUAGUCAAACUUUUUUCUGUUCUGAGUAGUUAUAACACUCAAAAACAUGUUCAACCUUGCUUUCCCAUGUCAGAUAAGCAUCUGGAUCUGAACGUCCCUGAAAAGAAGGUAUGGCAACGUUAAUGUUAGAAAUAUUAUCGUCAACUGUGCGUCCUGGUCGUUGAUUCACCCUUGGUGAAUGUUCAAUGUCAUUUUCAUCAUUAUGUUCAUUAUGGACAGAUUGUGAACCACCCCCUUCAAUCUUGUCCAAACGAGAGUAUAUAGGCUCUAAUGCAUUUUCUAAUAGACGUUGCAAGGUGCGAGUAAUAGCUUGCAUUUGCAAAUCUGGUGGUUGAUCUCCACCACGACUACGAUCUUCUGUUCUUGUCAUCUAAAGCAACACACAAGAAUAUAGAUAAUGAGUUAAGUAAAACAAAAGUAAAAGUCCUCACAGCACACUCUCAAAACCUCUCAGUUUUCACUCCAAAGAACUGUGCACUCAAAAAUAGCACUCAGCGCUCGUGUUUCACUCGGGAGAAUGCAUGAAUGACUCUUUUUGUCUCCCCUUCUAUUCUCACAACGCUCAAUGCUUUUUCCCUCACAAUUUCUCGUUUUUUUAGUUCUUUAAAGGACUAAUCCAACAUUUCAGAACCUGUUAUAAUUGUGUUGGCUAUAAGGAAAAAAACACACGGUUAGAGAGAAAAAAUAAAUAAACAAAGGGAAAGGAUAAGAAAAGAGUAAAAGGAUAAGAAAAUAAAAUAAACAAGGGGAAAGGAUGGAAUUUAAAUAAUUUAGUUUCUUACUGCAAAGAAGUGCUUUACAACGUUCCUAGCACCGAACAAAUAAGAAUAGUUCGUUUCAGUUGAUAUCUAAGCACUUCGCAAUUACAGAGUACAAAACUAAACAUUAUUCAACAUUUCAACAUAACAAAACACACUUUUUCUUUCCCAAACUUGAUGAAUUUCAAUUCCACUUUUUUUUUGAAUCUGAUUUUUCUUUCUCUUUUUGUUUUUUUGUUUUUUUUUGAAAUUGCGAAACUGAUAUAUAUAUUUUUUUGUUUUGAAUUUUGAAAUUUUCUUGUUGGAGAAGAAAAGUACAACAAUUCCAACCCUAGGCUCUGAUACCAGAUGAUACGAUGUAGCCUAAUGAAAUAGACUAUCUUCAUAUGUUACGGAUCUAGGAAUGUUGUAAGCACGUUCCUGCAACAAGAAAACAGCAAGGAAUUAAAGAAAUAAUCAUGGGUAAAUAUGGGUAAAAGAAAAGAACGAAAAUGAAAGGAAAAUAAAGUUGUUGGCGAUUAAAACAAAACGAAAUUCAAUCGGUGAAGUCGAACGCUUCAUGAAACGGCCAAGGCAGCAACUUGAGUGUUCAACAAUGGCAAAAGUAAUCGUUGGGAAUAGAAUAACGUUAAACUCGAAAGAACCUGCACAAUCUACUGAGCAAACCCGAAUCGAAUCUGUUCAACGUCAAAAGGACUUGGACCCUCUAGAUAGCGAUCUAGGAACCCGAAGGAUCAAGAAAAUUUGACACAACAAACUAAGUCUGAAAUGCCAAGGAAAGUUCAAUGAAGAACCAAAAUUGAGAGAAAUUUUCAAACGUAAUUGUUUUCAUAAAAUCAUCUAACCUGAAUACAUCAUUUUAAUAUGUAUUUAUAAGUACAAAAGAGGGGUGUUGAAUGGAAAUUCGUGGCUGUAAUCAAAAGGGUUUAAAAUAAGAAGUUAUAACUCCUUUUGGCGUCAUUUUAAUAGCAGCCAUACAUUUAAAAUUCAAACGACAACCUCCCUUGUUCUUAUCCUUGUAUAAUCGGCUACACAUGCACACACACACUCUUGUGCACAAGCGGUCAUGUGCUCCUCACAUGUUUGGACGCCACAUGGGCUGCCACAAAUGCAUAGGACACUUGCCCUUACAUAGGACACGUUUCAGCUGCUUCUGGACUCGUCAGCUGGAGUUGAGCUGGUGGAGCUGAGUUUGAGCUAGCUAGAAAUGUAUUGAGCUGAAAUGAGCUGGAAACAAUCUUUCAGAACUAUUUCGAGCUGAGAUGAGCUGUAUGCACAUAUUUGAGCUUCAACCGAGCUAGAAAUGAGGUCUUAAGCUGCUGUCUAUUAUUGUUUGAGCUUCAACCGAGCUAGAAAUGAGAUCUUAAGCUGCUGUCCAUUACGUUUCCUUAUGGUAAACAAAACAAACAUGCAUUAAAGUAAUGCAAACUUAUUGAAAACUUAUUAUCAAGUGGUAAACAUAAUGCAAACACACUUAUAUACUCAAUGGAACUAAUGCAAAUGUUACACUUCAGUAUGUAACACAUUAUAUGAUAUGAGCUCGCCCAUGAAGAUAGGUGCCGAAUCCGUGGAGUUGCCUUUGGGGCCAAUUACUCGAGCACGUGCCAAGAAGUACCAAGAUGCUGUAGCAAGCUAUAUUGCUCGAUUGUGGAGUGAUGGGUUGAUUGCCCAUAAAACGCCCAGCUCAACUAGCUUGAUUCGCAAUUUCCUACAAGCUGAUUUUAGCUUGUGUCAGCUCAAUUUAGCUCAAUUCGGCAAUUAAUUAGUUCAAGGAGCUGAUUAAAUUUAUUUUCAAUAAAUUUAAUUAGUUGUGUUAGUUUAGAAUCAGCUCAAAUCAUUUAAUUAAAUAAAUGUGUCUUAAUCUGGACAUUUUUUAAUUCAGCUUAUUAAAUAUGUUUUAUAUUAGUACAUGCCUUUAACAUGUCCAUAUUAAGUCAUAAAUUAAAUGUGUUUAGUUUAAUUGCAAAGUUUUAAUGUGUCUUGACUAAGACAAAUUUAUUAGUGGAUGCUAAUUAAUUUGUCUUAGCCGAAUUAAUGUGCAGAAUUUUAAUAUGUCCAGCUGCUGAUUUCAUGAGUAUUAAACUUGUCUUAACCACAUUUAGUUGAUGUUUUUCAGCUAGCUUAAUGGAAAAGAAAGCUCAUAAAGAAGGAGCAUGUAUUUGGGCACAUGCAUGGACGGCAUUUAAAGUGCAGCUGCCUUGUGUUUCCAGCUGACUUUUUGUGCAGCUCAAUGGACUUCUAGCUGCUGUUUUGAGCUUCUCCAAGGGCCAAUUUCGUGGAGAGCAAUUGAUACGACCAUGCCCCGGGCACACUUUUGGAUCAGCUCCCUAAGCAUUGUUUGCAAAUCCAUGCGAGCUGAAUUAGUUCAAUUUCAUUUCGUUAAGCUCCGUUUAGCUCGUUUCCAGCUCACUCGAGCUCAAGUCAACUCACUCAAGCUCAAUUCAGCUCAAUCUUAACCCAAUGAGCUUAUUUUUAGCUUUCUUUAGCUUGCAUUUAUUUUGCUGAAAUAAACCAUUUAAUUUGUCAUUAGUUAAAUUAGUUGUUUAUCUUAAGUUAGUUAAUUUGUUAAAAUCUGGACAAAUAAUUAAUUAAGUGUUUUAAUUAUAUCUAAAUUAAAUACUUAAUUAAUUAUGAUGUUUUAAAUAUGUCUAAAAUUGUUAAUAUGUAUGGCCAAAUUUAAUGUGCAAAUUAUUGAGUUCAUAUGCUGCUAAUUUAAUGUGUUUGAAAUGCAUUUAACUUGCUGAUUUAAUUUGCUGCAGGUUCAUGAACGGAUUGGUGCAAUGUAUGGGAGUGUGCAUGCACAAUUGAGGUUCAAUGGAUGGCAUUUAAAGGAGAACAUGCAUUUGGGACGUUCAUGCAAGAGGGAGUUGCUAAAAGUUCAUGUAUUUGAAGAUUCAUGGAUCAUAUUUAUGGGGGAAAAUACAUGGGACGUUUCAUGCAUUUUCAAGAUGACCAUUCAAGUAUUUUAGGCACAUUAAUGCCUCAUUCAGCCAAGGGAGAUGUAGGAUCAUUAAAGAGCUGCACAUUCAUGGAAUUAUGGAGAUUCUUCAAGGCUAAGGAUGCAUGAAUGCAUCAAGUGAAGCAUCAUGAUGGUUCGGCCAAUUCAUGUACCAUCUUCAAGCAUGAACUGGAUUUUAAUGCUAUUUGUGUGAACAUGUUAAAUACCUGUGUGAACAGAAUUUAAGUUAGUGUGAACAACAUAGAUUCCGAAUAUCAAUAGGCAUUUUAGGCUUAUAAAUAGCUUACUUGUUUAUUGUAAAAGGUUACAGAAUUUGAUUAUUGAAAACUUGAUUGUGAGGUUUCCUCCUAUCCUAUUUCGUACGAGUCUCGUUCUGACUUAUCUAGCUCGCUAGUGGCGUCAACCCGACUUCUUGAACUUAUCACCAUCCUGGUGUGGCGUUCAUCCACCUUUUUAUACCUUUGGUUCCUACCUUUCUAUAGGUAACGGGUCAAGGUCCAUCUUCGACAAUCCAUUAAACCCACCUUAAGCAAUAUAAGUCCCGAGGCAAUACUUCAUAUAGUAUUGAAUCGUUCUUCGCUUGAGUUCUAUUUUUCCAUUCCAUUUUAACUAUUAAAUUAUAAACAAUAUUUCUUUAUUUCACCGAGCCUAUCAAACAUCUACCCAAACCAUCUUUUGAACCCAUUUUCUCAACUUCCGCUAUAAAAAAUCAUCUAACUCCAUCUAUCUACAAAAUCGAACAAACUUCUCGUCGACGAUCGGGCAAUCAAGUGAAUCGACUCAAUCAACCGAGCCAGAUCACAUCAUUUGGUAUCAGAGCUACUAAAACAAGGAGUACCGAUGUUUGUAUCAAGCUCGGAAUAGGUUUGUAACGUAAAAAAAGUCAAAAAAAUCAAAAAAAAUUGAGUUGGAAUUUAAUUUUUUUCUCUUCCUUGUAUUUUGUUUACUAUUGUAUUGGAUUUAAAAAAAAGAGAAGAAAUUCAGAAAAAAAAUUUCAAAAAAAAUGAAAAAAAAGAAGUGACAAAAAAAUCGAGUUAAAAAAAAGAAGAAAGAAAAAAAGUGAAAAGUCUUGCGAGUUUUUAUCAUUAUCACUUAUUACUCCGAUCAUCAAGUUUCCCUUCCUACCAUUAUUUACCCAUCCCAACGCCACACUUUAAACCAAUUUUCUUCUUUAUUCAGCCUACCCUACACCUGACAUUAUCCCUUGUAACCAAUUUGAAACCGACCCUCAAGCAGCAAAUUAAGUCUACCGAGACAAAUCACGAAAUUGUGAGAAGAGGUUGAGUGGAAAAAGGCACGAGUGAAAUUACAUCAAAGAAAAAGCCAAAAUUUGAAUGUAAACACGAGUGCGAGUGAAAAUCAUUAUUUCUUUUUCGAGCGAAUUUGUGAGGUUUGUGGUAAGGUAUUUAUUUUCUUUAUUAUUUUUUUUAACAUCUUCUUGUCAUUACUUAAUCAUGUCUCGAGAAACAUUUCCCGAAUCAGAAUUCCAAUAUUUGAUGCAAGAGAUGCAUAGAAUGGUGAAAUCAAAAUUUGAUAAAUUGCAUGAUCGAUUGGAUCGAGUGGAGGAAAGAGCCCGAUGGAAGCCAAACUCACUGGGUGAAGAGACGGAGACAAGAUCAUCACGAAGGCACACAUCCAUUGAUUUUUUGGGAAGAGAUUCAUACCAUGAUUCCUAUUCAACAAGGAACUCAAGACGAAGCAAAGCAAGUUUUGAGUUUAAAGCUUUCCGAGGUGACGAACGAGAAAUCACAAGUAGUCCUUCGUAUGCACCGAGGUAUUCGUCCGCCAAGAAUCAAUCUCGAAGAGGUGAUCAUUUUUUGUAUGAAAGUCGUUCCAAUUAUACCCAACGAGAGUCAUUUCGUGCUGAUUCAUUUGUAACAUCUCCAUCCUAUAAUGAAAGAGCGAGGCAAAAAGAAAAAGAAAUAAGAAGAAAGGAAAGACAAGAAAUGUUGAUGAGAGAAAAUGAACAUAUAUGGAAUGAAAUCGAGAGACGAAAAAAAGAAAUGAAAGAAAAGGAACAAGAAAUUGAAAAAGAGUGAGAUUGAAGAAAGAAACGAGAGUGUAAAAGAAACGAGUGUCAUGGAAAAAGAAAUUGAGAUUGAAAAAGGAUGUGAAAAAGAGAAAGAAAUCGAAAAAGAAAUUGAGAUUGAACAAAAGUGUGAAGAAAAAGAGAAAAUUGAAAAAGAAAGAAAAGACAAUGAGUUAGAAAAAAAACGAGAGAAAAGGAGGCAAAAGAGCAAGAAAAAGUGAGGAAUCUGUUUACUAAACCACAUGAGAAUUUGUCUUGUUUUGUUUCCUCUUUUCAGGUCUCCGGAAGGCCAAGUGACGAUAAUUUUCAACUCCAAUACCUCUCGAAGGAGAGAAGGUUCAUUUUGGCUGAAAAAGGUAAUGUUCUCAACGAUCCUAGUUCGCCUAUGCCAAAAGGUAAGCAAGGUAUGAAUGUUGAAAAUUUUAAAGCACUUCUGCCUUACUCGAUUGUUGAUGGACACACUGUUGAUGAUUUGGUCUUUAGAAAGAAUCUGAACUUUGACGUGGAUAUUUGUCAUUCUUUGAUUGAUGAUGAUCAAUUUGUUUUGUCUAAUGAUAAGAAGAUUCUUGCUUUUGAAAAAUAUCAUUUUGAUGGUAUUGGUUGUUUAUCUUUAACUUGCAAUGGAAUGCAUGUUUUGGAUGCGCAAGAUGAAAGUCCAUAUAAAAUGUUCAUUCUCACUGAUCAUGUUGAAAAGGAAUGGAAAUGUAUUGAUGAAUACGCCAUUGGCAAGAUUUUUGAUGAAGAGCGAAUAAAUCAGCACCAACAAAAUCUGGAAUUGUGUGAUCAAAAGUUGACAUAUCAUCUGCUUGGUUGUGUUGAUCAUGUGGAUUAUCUAAUUUUUGGUGUGAAAUUUCCAUAUUUUUGUAAAUCUUUUCGAAUGAAAUUUAAAGGGUUUGCUUGUUUGAAUUUGAGUAUGUUAACACCCUCGUUGUUUAAUUUGUGUAAAUUGUUGGAGAUAAAAGGACUCUUUUUGCCAUUUGGAUCGAGUAGUCAAAAUCAUGUCUUUAAUCCUGGAGUUUGCUAUUAUGAAUCAUCCAUGAAAGAAAGCAAGCAUCGUAAAAUUUGUUUGAAUGAAUGUGUAAACAAUCUUUGUUUGUAUGAUACUUUGUCUUUAAGUUUGAAAAUGAGCCAUGUGAAUCUUGUUGGCUUGUUAAGUCAAAAUCAAAAUUUUGUUUUCGGAGGAUGUUCUCAACUGUGGACUAAAAGAUCCGAACAUGUUUUGAAUGAUAAUGAUUUUGAGUUGCUUAAUGCUCUUUCUAUGAAGUCGGUCAUGAAAUUGCCAAAUCAAAUUGAAAUGGCAAGAGAAAAUUUUGUCUUUGACCCCGGUGAACACCAUUCUAUAUCAUUGCCUAAGGUAAUCGAACCAUGGAAAGUUGACUUCCAAAACCAUAGCUAUCAAAUGCCUUGUGAUUUAUGUUUGUUUCCAUCGAAGAAAAAGGUAAGAACGAUUUCUAUUUUCGACCCCGGUAUUGGAUUAUUUGUUCAAACUGUGAAUCAAAUCUCAAAAAGUUCCUUUGUGUUUAAUCUUCAUCGUGUCACUAAUUCGUUUUAUUCUUUUAAAGGUGACAAUGUGAAGUGGUACCCUCCUAAAGAGGGAGGGCAUGCGAAUGAGCUUCUUUUGAUCUGAGUUAAUUGUGGCUUUCAGAAUCUUCAACGAUUUUUCGCGAGUAAAUGGCCCGAUUUGGGGACAAACCGCUUUAAAGAGGGAGGGGAUGAUACGACCAUGCCCCGGGCACACUUUUGGAUCAGCUCCCUAAGCAUUGUUUGCAAAUCCAUGCGAGCUGAAUUAGUUCAAUUUCAUUUCGUUAAGCUCCGUUUAGCUCGUUUCCAGCUCACUCGAGCUCAAGUCAACUCACUCAAGCUCAAUUCAGCUCAAUCUUAACCCAAUGAGCUUAUUUUUAGCUUUCUUUAGCUUGCAUUUAUUUUGCUGAAAUAAACCAUUUAAUUUGUCAUUAGUUAAAUUAGUUGUUUAUCUUAAGUUAGUUAAUUUGUUAAAAUCUGGACAAAUAAUUAAUUAAGUGUUUUAAUUAUAUCUAAAUGAAAUACUUAAUUAAUUAUGAUGUUUUAAAUAUGUCUAAAAUUGUUAAUAUGUAUGGCCAAAUUUAAUGUGCAAAUUAUUGAGUUCAUAUGCUGCUAAUUUAAUGUGUUUGAAAUGCAUUUAACUUGCUGAUUUAAUUUGCUGCAGGUUCAUGAACGGAUUGGUGCAAUGUAUGGGAGUGUGCAUGCACAAUUGAGGUUCAAUGGAUGGCAUUUAAAGGAGCACAUGCAUUUGGGACGUUCAUGCAAGAGGGAGUUGCUAAAAGUUCAUGUAUUUGAAGAUUCAUGGAUCAUAUUUAUGGGGGAAAAUACAUGGGACGUUUCAUGCAUUUUCAAGAUGACCAUUCAAGUAUUUUAGGCACAUUAAUGCCUCAUUCAGCCAAGGGAGAUGUAGGAUCAUUAAAGAGCUGCACAUUCAUGGAAUUAUGGAGAUUCUUCAAGGCUAAGGAUGCAUGAAUGCAUCAAGUGAAGCAUCAUGAUGGUUCGGCCAAUUCAUGUACCAUCUUCAAGCAUGAACUGGAUUUUAAUGCUAUUUGUGUGAACAUGUUAAAUACCUGUGUGAACAGAAUUUAAGUUAGUGUGAACAACAUAGAUGCCGAAUAUCAAUAGGCAUUUUAGGCUUAUAAAUAGCUUACUUGUUUAUUGUAAAAGGUUACAGAAUUUGAUUAUUGAAAACUUGAUUGUGAGGUUUCCUCCUAUCCUAUUUCGUACGAGUCUCGUUCUGACUUAUCUAGCUCGCUAGUGGCGUCAACCCGACUUCUUGAACUUAUCACCAUCCUGGUGUGGCGUUCAUCCACCUUUUUAUACCUUUGGUUCCUACCUUUCUAUAGGUAACGGGUCAAGGUCCAUCUUCGACAAUCCAUUAAACCCACCUUAAGCAAUAUAAGUCCCGAGGCAAUACUUCAUAUAGUAUUGAAUCGUUCUUCACUUGAGUUCUAUUUUUCUAUUCCAUUUUAACUAUUAAAUUAUAAACAAUAUUUCUUUAUUUCACCGAGCCUAUCAAACAUCUACCCAAACCAUCUUUUGAACCCAUUUUCUCAACUUCCGCUAUAAAAAAUCAUCUAACUCCAUCUAUCUACAAAAUCGAACAAACUUCUCGUCGACGAUCGGGCAAUCAAGUGAAUCGACUCAAUCAACCGAGCCGGAUCACAUCAGCAAUGGCCAAAGAGUGCCUCAUAAAUUCCAGCAGCCAAUUCAUGUGGAGGCUACUCAUAUUCGGCCAAAGAAGCAUAAUUUUUGAAGCUGUCCAUUUCUCUUCUCCAUAGCAGCAAUUAAGCUCUUUUAAAACAUUAACUGAAUGUGAAUUUUCUCCAUUAAAGGGGCCAGCCGAAUCAUCUUUUUCUAGAAGGUUAAUUUUCAGAAUUUUAUCACAUGAAUGUAACUAGGAAAUUUCUAGGAAGUUUCCUCAAGAAACUUAAGGCAUAAAGAUCUGAUUAGAUAGGCUAUUCGGCUGCCUUAGUCAAGCUAUAAAUAGGUCAUGUAAUUCACAUUUUGAGGUUAAUGAACAAUUUGAUAGCUUUGCUAAAUUGUAAGGUUGUUUUCAACUCUCGUUAUUCUCCAAAAACUUGUGAGACUUAUCAAACAUCUUUGUGGCAUCAAACUUGUUUUUGUUUCUUCCCAAACUUAUCACUUUAAUCCCAAAAGUGUGGCGUUCGAUUCAUACUAAGGUUCCUAUCAUCAUUGAUAGUGGGUCGAAGUUUCUAUCCAUUUAACAAACCUUCCAUCCAUCCUUACCAACCUAAGCAUUCUCCUAAGUUACGGGUUAACACAUUCCUAUUGUGUUAGUUCGGCUUUCGAAUCCUUAGCCAAAUUGCUUCCAUUGUUUUCUAAUUCAUUUCCUAAACCAACAAAACCCUUUUGAGCCUAAAUAAACCUCUUUCUUCUAGCCUAUUUUGUAAAGCCUCAAUUUACUCAUAAUUCACGAUCGGGCGAUCUUUAUGACUCAAUUCGAUCUCGAGGUGAGGGCGUAUCAAGUUGGUAUCAGAGCUAGCUGAAUCGGAGUAAGAAUCGUUGUCUUCGGUAUUACGAGAUUGUAAAAAAAUUUCGAAAAAAAAAUUUGAAAAAAGAAAUAAAAAAAACAAAAAAAGUUUGUAUUCACUUUAUUUUUCCUUUGUGUAUUCAGUAUUGAAAAAAAAAUUCGAAAUUAAAAAAAAAGAUGUGAUUGAAAUUCAUUUUGAGCUUGUAAAAGCAUUGCUUGCUGCCCGAAGGACCACAUCUAUACAGCCACACUAAUUUCCUUCUAUUUUCUUUGAUUGUUAGCCUACCCGAUCCUAAAAUAUUACCCUACCAAGCCACAUCUAUUUUGUAAGCCGACCCCAAACGAUUUUGAUUUGUCAAACUUAGUUUGCAGAGAAUUUUGGGAAGUGAAAAUUGAGUGGUAAAAGGCAAGAGAGAUUAGUGAGACUAUUAGAGAGUAGAAAAGCCAAAGUGAGUGUUUAUUCUUGUGAGUGAUUGGUGAGUUCUUGUUGUGAUUCUUUAAAGAACUUUUAAAAAAUGUCACGGAGCCCAGAAAGGAAUCCAGACGAGGGAGGUGGAUUUCGUCCAAUAAGAAACGUUGGAAGGGGAGUGCCGGAUCUCACUUUGCAAGCCAUUAUGCAAGAAAUGUUGCGAUUGUUUGAUCGCAAGCUUGAACCAAUCGAAGACCGCCUAUAUCGAGUCGAAACCCAAAGGCAACGCGAAGCGACUCUGGAAGAUGCAAGACGAGAAUAAGAGCAACCAAUUGACAACUAUGAUGAAGAAGAAUCUGAAGGUGAUCACUUAUCUGAACAAGGAAACCCUCAACGGUUCCAACGAAAUCGAGUCCCAAGAAAUCGAGACCGUCCGGAUGAUAAUCUCAAAAAUAUUAAGAUGUCUAUUCCGCCGUUUCAAGGGAAGAAUGAUCCCGAAUCUUACUUGGAGUGGGAAAAGAAAAUGGAACUCGUCUUUGAGUGCCAUAACUAUUCGGAAAAUAAAAAGGUAAAGCUCGCUGCCAUUGAAUUCUCGGAUUAUGCGAUCGUGUGGUGGGAUCAAUUGGUGACUAGCCGAAGGAGGAAUGGGGAGAGGCCUAUCUCUACGUGGGCUGAAAUGAAGGCCGUUAUGCGCAAGCGUUUUGUUCCCUCCUAUUACCAUCGGGAGUUGUACCAACGAUUGCAAAAUCUCACACAAGGCAACCGAACUGUCGAGGACUACUAUAAAGACAUGGAAAUCGCUAUGAUAAGAGCCGACGUGGAGGAGGAUCGUGAAGCAACAAUGGCGAGAUUUUUAUCCGGCCUAAAUCGGGAUAUUGCCAAUAUCGUCGAGCUUCAACACUAUGUAGAAGUUAUGGACAUGGUGCAUAUGGCAAUAAAAGUUGAAAAACAAUUGAAACGAAAAGGACCCAUGCGGACAUAUCCAACGGCGUCUACCAAUAAGUGGACUCAAGGGACUAGCAAAGCUCCCAAUCGGCCUAAGGAGCCUUUCGUUGUUGCCAAACCCAAUCAAGUAAGUGCCGAUGCUAGCAAAAAUAAAAAUGAGGCUGUCUCGAAUCGUUCUCGCGAUAUCAAGUGUUUCAAGUGUCAAGGAAGAGGCCACAUUGCGAGUUAUUGUCCUAAUCGACGAGUGAUGGUGGUUCGUUCAAAUGGCGAGAUUGAGUCCGAAGAUGAACAAGAGGAGGAGCCUGAAAUUCCCAUGGAGGAAGGUGAAGAGCUCGAGCUGCCCGUUGAAGGAGAAUUACUUGUUGUCAAAAGGAGCUUGAAUAUCUAAGUAGCCGAGGAAGAACAACAACGAGACAACAUCUUUCACACUCGUUGCCAUGUUCAAGGUAAGGUGUGUAGUUAAUUAUUGACGGAGGUAGUUGCACCAAUGUCGCAAGUUCUUUGCUGGUUGAAAAACUUGGUUUAGCCACCACAAAGCAUCCAACUCCUUACAAGUUACAAUGGCUAAAUGACGAAGGCGAACUCAAGGUGACGAAGCAAGCAAGGGUGGCGUUUCCAUAGGCAAGUACCAAGAUGAGGUGGUUUGUGAUGUCGUACCAAUGCACGCGGGACAUUUGCUAUUGGGGCGUCCUUGGCAAUUUGACCGGCGAGUAGUCCACGACGGCUAUACAAACUGAUAUUCAUUUAAGUACCUUGGAAGGAAUGUUACAUUAGCUCCUCUCACACCGAAGCAAGUGCAUGAAGACCAACUCAAGAUGAAGCAAUCUAUUGAUCGAGAAAAAGAAAAAGAGAAAAACAAAAAGAGUGGAAAGAAAAAGAAAGAAAAGAAUGAGGAGAGUGAGAUAAAAACAAGAGUGACAAAAGAAAAAGAGCAAGAGUGUGAAAAUAAAAAAAUAAGUGUUUUUGCUAGAAAAAGAGAGAUUCGAAAAUUGAUGUUGGCAAGGCAACCUAUUUUUGUACUUAUGUAUAAAGAGUGUUUAUUGGAAACUAACGAACUUGACAAUACUUUGCCUACUCCUAUCGUUUCUUUGUUGCAGGAAUUCGGAGAUGUUUUUCCUAAAGAAGUGCCAAAUGGCCUACCUCCCAUUCGAGGAAUCGAAUACCAAAUUGAUUUUGUGCCCGGUUCUGCAAUUCCAAAUAGGCCAGCAUAUAGAAGUAAUCCUGAGGAAAUGAAGGAAUUAGAAAAGCAAGUAGCCGAAUUAAUGGAGAAGGGCUACAUCCGUGAAAGCUUAAGUCCGUGCGCGGUCCCAGUAUUGUUGGUUCCUAAAAAGGAUGGAUCCUGGCGAAUGUGCGUUGACUGCCGCGCUAUCAACAAAAUCACAAUAAAAUAUCGCCAUCCUAUUCCCCGCCUCGACGACAUGCUUGAUGAACUUAGUGGAGCCCAAUUGUUUUCGAAGAUCGAUUUAAAAAGUGGGUAUCAUCAAAUUAGAAUGCAAGAGGGAGACGAAUGGAAAACUGCGUUCAAAACUAAAUAUGGUUUGUAUGAAUGGUUGGUAAUGCCAUUCGGACUUACCAACGCUCCAAGUAAUUUCAUGCGCCUCAUGAAUUAUGUUUUACGUUCGUUCAUUGGAAAAUUCUUUGUUGUGUAUUUUGAUGAUAUUUUAGUCUAUAGCAAGAGCUUGGAAUAUCAUAUUCAACAUCUACGUGCCGUGCUUGAAGUCUUACGAAAAGAGGUACUUUAUGCCAAUUUAAAGAAAUGUUCUUUUUGCACUAAUGAAGUUGUUUUUCUAGGCUUUGUGGUAAGUGCUCGUGGAUUAGAAGUUGACCAAGAAAAGGUCAAGGCGAUCAACGAAUGGCCGCGUCCAAUGAACAUCAGCCAAGUGAGGAGUUUUCACGGGUUGGCAAGCUUCUAUCGAAGGUUUGUGCCUAAUUUUAGUUCUGUAGCUGCCCCCUUGACAGGUAUAAUUAAGAAAAAUUCUCCUUUUGUGUGGACUAAUGAACAAGAAAAUUCUUUUAAUAAGCUUAAAGAAUGUCUAACUAAUGCACCAUUGUUGUCUUUACCUGAUUUUAACAAAACAUUCGAGAUAGAGUGUGAUGCUUCAGGUAUCGGCAUUGGCGCUGCUUUGAUGCAAGAUGGACGGCCUAUUGCAUACUUUAGUGAAAAGCUUAACGGAGCUACGUUGAAUUAUCCAACGUAUGAUAAGGAACUAUAUGCAUUGGUCCGAGCUCUCGAAACAUGGCAACACUAUUUAUGGCCGAAGGAAUUCGUAAUUCAUUCGGACCACGAGGCUUUAAAGCAUUUGAAGGGACAAACCAAGCUCAAUAAACGUCAUGCCAAGUGGGUGGAGUAUUUGGAGUCGUUUCCGUACGUGAUCAAGUAUAAAAAGGGUAAGGAAAAUGUUGUAGCCGACGCCCUAUCACGAAGGUACGCACUUGUCAAUUUAAUGGAUUCUAAAUUGCUUGGUUUCGAAUUUAUCAAAGAUCUUUAUAAAUCUGAUGCUGACAUUGGUGAAAUUUAUGAGUCUUGUUCGCAUGGUGCUUGUGAAAAGUAUUUUCAGCAUGAGGGCUAUUUAUUUCGUGAAGGCAAGCUUUGUGUGCCUCAAAGUUCUGUGAGAAACGUCCUUGUAGAAGAAGCUCAUAGCGGAGGACUUAUGGGCCACUUCAGAAUUGCUAAAACUUUAGCAAUAUUGUAUGAACAUUUCUAUUGGCCCAAAAUGAAAUGUGACGUAAUAAGGAAAUGUGAUCGUUGCAUCACUUGUAAGAAGGCAAAGUCACGAAUCAAACCGCAUGGAUUAUACACCCCAUUGCCUAUUCCUGAUGCUCCGUGGGUAGACAUUUCAAUGGACUUCAUUCUGGGCCUUCCAAGAACCAAAAGAGGGAGAGAUUCAAUAUUUGUUGUUGUAGACCGUUUUUCAAAAAUGGCCCAUUUUAUACCUUGUAAUAAAACUGAUGAUGCUACUAACGUUGCUAGUCUGUUUUUCAAGGAAGUUGUUAGGUUGCAUGGGAUCCCUCGAACCAUUGUCUCUGAUCGCGACACAAAGUUUCUAAGUCAUUUUUGGAGGACGUUGUGGGGGAAAUUGGGCACCAAACUUCUAUUUUCGAUGACAUGCCACCCUCAAACGGAUGGCCAAACCGAAGUAGUCAACCGUGUGCUAUCAACUUUGCUUCGAGCUAUUUUGAAAAAGAAUUUGAAGAUGUGGGAAGAUUGCUUACCUCAUGUGGAGUUCGCAUACAAUCGAACCGUUCAUUCUGCUACGAAAUUUUCUCUUUUUGAGGUAGUAUACGGUUUUAAUCCCAUUACUCCUCUUGAUUUGAUUCCUAUGCCUUCUAAUGAAUUAGUACAUGUAGAUGGCAAAAAGAAGGCCGAAUUUGUUAAACAAUUGCACAAAAAUGUUAAGGAUAAUAUUGAGAGGAGAACCGAACAAUAUGUUCGAGGGGCAAAGAAAGGGCGCAAAUGAGUCGUGUUCGAACCCGGUGACUGGGUUUGGAUCCACAUGCGCAAAGAACGGUUUCUCGAUCAAAGGAAAUCCAAGCUUCAAUCAAGGGGUGAUGGCCCUUUUCAAGUAUUGGAACGGAUCAAUGACAACGUCUAAAAGAUUGACCUACCGGGUGAGUAUGCAGUGAGUGCAAGUUUUAACGUUGCUGACCUUUCUCCUUUUGAUGUAGGUGACGAUUCGAGGACGAAUCGCUUCGAGGAGAGGGAGGAUGAUAUGAGCUCGCCCAUGAAGAUAGGUGCCGAAUCCAUGGAGUUGCCUUUGGGGCCAAUUACUCGAGCACAUGCCAAGAAGUUCCAAGAUGCUAUAGCAAGCUAUAUUGCUCGAUUGUGGAGUGAUGGGUUGAUUGCCCAUAAAACGCCCAGCUCAACUAGCUUGAUUCGCAAUUUCCUACAAGCUGAUUUUAGCUUGUGUCAGCUCAAUUUAGCUCAAUUCGGCACUUAAUUAGUUCAAGGAGCUAAUUAAAUUUAUUUUUAAUAAAUUUAAUUAGUUGUGUUAGUUUAGAAUCAGCUCAAAUCAUUUAAUUAAAUAAAUGUGUCUUAAUCUGGAUAUUUUUAAUUCAGCUUAUUAAAUAUGUUUUAUAUUAGUACAUGCCUUUAAUAUGUCCAUAUUAAGUCAUAAAUUAAAUGUGUUUAGUUUAAUUACAAAGUUUUAAUGUGUCUUGACUAAGACAAAUUUAUUAGUGGCUGCUAAUUAAUUUGUCUUAGCCGAAUUAAUGUGCAGAAUUUUAAUAUGUCCAGCUGCUGAUUUCAUGAGUAUUAAACUUGUCCUAAGCACAUUUAUUUGAUGUUUUUUUCAGCUAGCUUAAUGGCAAAGAAAGCUCAUAAAGAAGGAGCAUGUAUUUGGGCACAUGCAUGGACGGCAUUUAAAGUGCAGCUGCCUUGUGUUUCCAGCUGACUUUUCGUGCAGCUCAAUGGACUUCUAGCUGCUGUUUUUGAGCUUCUCCAAGGGCCAAUUUCGUGGAGAGCAAUGGCCAAAGAGUGCCUCAUAAAUUCCAGCAGCCAAUUCAUGUGGAGGCUAUUCAUAUUCGGCCAAAGAAGCAUAAUUUUUGAAGCUGUCCAUUUCUCUUCUCCAUAGUAGCAAUUAAGCUCUUUUAAAACAUUAACCGAAUGUGAAUUUUCUCCAUUAAAGGGGCCAGCCGAAUCAUCUUUUUCUAGAAGGUUAAUUUUCAGAAUUUCAUCACAUGAAUGUAACUAGGAAAUUUCUAGGAAGUUUCCUCAAGAAACUUAAGGCAUAAGGAUCUGAUUAGAUAGGCUAUUCGGCUGCCUUAGUCUAUUCGGCUGCCUUAGUCAAGCUAUAAAUAGGUCAUGUAAUUCACAUUUUGAGGUUAAUGAACAAUUAGAUAGCUUUGCUAAAUUGUGAGGUUGUUUUCAACUCUCGUUAUUCUCCAAAAACUUGUGAGACUUAUCAAACAUCUUUGUGGCGUCAAACUUGUUUUUGUUUCUUCCUGAACUUAUCACUUUAAUCCCAAAAGUGUGGCGUUCGAUUCAUACUAAGGUUCCUAUCACCAUUGAUAGUGGGUCGAAGUUUCUCUCCAUUUAACAAACCUUCCAUCCAUCCUUACCAACCUAAGCAUUCUCCUAAGUUACGGGUUAACACAUUCCUAUUGUGUUAGUUCGGCUUUCGAAUCCUUAGCCAAAUUGCUUCCAUUGUUUUCUAAUUCAUUUCCUAAACCAACAAAACCCUUUUGAGCCUAAAUAAACCUCUUUCUUCUAGCCUAUUUUGUAAAGCCUCAAUUUACUCCUAAUUCACGAUCGGGCGAUCUUUACGACUCAAUUCGAUCUCGAGGUGAGGGCGUAUCACGAUGCUAGCAAAAAUAAAAACGAGGCUAUCUCGAAUCAUUCUCGCGAUAUCAUGAUACGCCCCGGCUCGGGAAGGAGAGUCGAGUCGUAGAUGUGCCCGAUCGUGAAUUGGAGUAAUACUCAAGGGUGGACAAAAUAGGUUAAGAAAGAAGAGAUAAAGGCUCAAAUUUAGUUCAAAAGGGGUUAUGAAAUGUAUUGAGGAUGAUAGGUGAAUGAAAACCAAGUAUUCAAGUUGAACCAACACAAUAUAAGUGUGUUAACCCGGGACUUAUACGAAUACUUAGGAAAUGUUAAAUGUUGUAUGGAUGGAAAACGAAUAAAAUGGAACCUCGACCCACUAUCAAAGAUGAUAGGAACCUCGGUAUAACUUGAACGCCAGACUUUGGGUGCAAAGUGAUAAGUUCGAAAUACAAAAACGGGUUGACGCCACAAGGGUUACUUGAUAAGUCUAACCAGUCCUUGGAGAACAAUGAGAGUUGAAAACAAACUCACAAAGUAAACAAAUUUCAUAUAAGUUUUAAAAGUAUAUUGUCUAACCCCAAAACAAUUACAAAGCAAACUAUUUAUAGCUAAAUUCCUAGGCUAGCCGAAUGGACACUUGAGCAGCUAAAAAGUCAGCUUAUUUUCAAAGCAAAUGAAUUGAAAAUUUCAUGUAGCUUCCUAGAACGUCCCUUGAAGCUUUCUUGAAGAUUCCCAGCUUUGGAGACGUCAAUGGAUAGCCAUUUGAUGUCUUCUAAUAGCCUUGAAUUAAUGAGGUGAUGGUUGAGCUGAAAUGGCUGAAUAGAAUUGUUUAGAUUGGCCUAAAUUCGUCCAACUUGUGUGAAAGCUCUUAUGGAUGCUUGGGGAGCUCAAAGGCCAACUUGGGGAAGAGAAAUGGGCUGCCAAAUAAAUGUGAGGAGUCAUAGCUUUUUAAUCUCCACGAAGAGGCACAUUCCCUCACAUGGACGGCACAUUUAUGGCAUUCGAGAAGAACAAAAAUGGCUCAUGGAAAAGAGGAAUUAGCAACUCUUCAUGGAUCCCUUGCUGUGCACGAAAAAAAUAAAUCAGCAGCUCAUUAAGUGGACGUUCCUUGCAUGUGGAACAUCACAUUUAAUUCAUGGCUUUGCUGCACAAUAAAUCAGCAAGCAGCUUCUUUAAUUUCGUCCAUUAAAUGGCCACAUGAAAAAGCACAAGCAGCUCCUUAAAUGCUUCCAGCAUCCAUUGAAUGGCCAUCCAUAAUUGCUUUUGCUGGACAUUAAUUCCAGCAAUUUUAAUUUCAGCAACAACCACUUCUUUUAAUGCUGUCCAUGUACCUGCAUGCAACAACCAUUAAUUCAUGUUAAGACAACAUUAAAUGGUUAACUAGACAUAUUUAAUUCGGCAGCCACAAUUAACUUCAACUAGACACCAUUUAAGACAUCAUUAAAUUCGGUUGUAGCAAAACAAAUUAAAUGAUGUAAUGACAAUUAAAUUCAGCUGGACACCUUAAAAACAUACAUUAAAUUCGUCCAAACAUGUAGCAGCAGCAUUAAUUUCGUCCAGACAUAUUUAUAACAUGCAGUGGCAGCAUUAAAUUCGUCAUAAUAAAUAGAUGUAAUAGCCUAGACAUAUUUAUGCUAUGUAUGAAAAUAGGACACAUUAAAAAAAACAUAAAAAUAAAACAUAUUUAAAACACCUAAUUAAAA
This 63657-nucleotide long non-coding RNA is filed under the name Gossypium barbadense (sea-island cotton). Its description in RNAcentral is "long non-coding RNA (GBAR_LNC016510)". The record is from RNAcentral. Lineage: Eukaryota; Viridiplantae; Streptophyta; Magnoliopsida; Malvales; Malvaceae.